AGUACAAGUCUCCUCCACCACCUCCUCCAGUGUACAAGUCCCCACCACCUCCAGUUUACAAGUACAACUCACCUCCACCUCCUCCCCCAGUUUACCUGUCUCCACCUCCACCCUAUCAUCACUACUACGGUUCUCCUUCUCCUCACCACUACUAAGCAAGUGCAUAAGUUUUGAGGUAAUAAUACCUAUCCAAAACUUUAUCAACACAAACUGCCAUGUAUAUCAUGCUAAGGACGUACACUUGAUCCAUGAAAAUGACUAGUAGAAGAUUUUUUUUAAGAACCAAAGAAAUACAUUAUUUUUUCGGUCUGUUUUCAAGAAUUUGAGCAGUAUACAGAUUAAAGAGUGUUUUUUUUUUUGUAAACUUGCUUGUCAACUUAAAAAUGCACAUAGCUGAAAGCCAACUGAAUAUUUGCAGGCAAAGGAGAAGGCAAUCGGUGUUUGAGACCUUCAAGAAGAUGUAGAAGAAUAAGAAUAAAAGCCCAAUGCGAGGAUGAUUCCAAGUUUCUACGUUACCAUUUCUACAUCUAAAUUGACUUUAGCUCCUGAGUUCCAUGUUUAUGGGGUUUGUACCGUUUUACGUACCAUGCAGUACAUGCUUGCAAGGUUUUCUGUCCUGUUGGCAAACUGCAGGUCCAUAUAAUAAAUGAAUACUAUUUACAUUACGACACUUUUCUCUUUUUCUCUUAUAUUUUGUCUUUAAUAUUGUUGAUCAUUUUUUUUUUAUCAAAAGCAUCAAAUGCUUAGGUAAUUUGGUCUAAUGCUAAUUGUUUUACUUUUAUUUUUCACCUACACCCCUUUUCAACUCAAAGGAUGCUAUAGUUUGUGAUAAUUGUUUAAGACCGAAGCAUGAUACUAAUAAAUAUCUCAUUGAAAGUCAAGGAAACUAACAUUAGGAAAAGUUUAAAUCUUGAUUUGAUGAAACUAUUUAUUCGUGGAAUUUAGAGAUACAAAACUCAAAUUGUGACGGUGUUGUUGCUAAAUUAUUAAGGACAUUAUCACCAUUAUUUUUCCCUGAUCACUAGUUUCAACUGCAAUGAUCUCAAUCUUUUUGUGACUAAUUCUUUCCUUAAUAAUUUAUAAAGACAAAACUCACAAAGAAUAUGUGACUAAUUCUUUCCUUUCGUCUUCUAAAGAAAAUGCCAACUGUUAGUUUAUCAAGGGGAAAAAGGAUCGACAUCAGUUAUUAUUGAAACUAGUAAGGAAUAAAUAAUGGUGAUAAUGUCCUUAAUAAUUUAACAACAGCACCAUCAGAAUUUGACUUUGAGCUUCGGUCUUAAACAAUGAUCACAAACUACAGCAUCCUUUGAGUUGAAAAAGGAAGUAGGUGAAAAGAAAAGUAAAAAAUACAAUUAGCAUUCCCUCAAAUUGUAGAAAGUUAGGUAGCAUUAUAGACAAGUUGAUAGCGGCAAUUUUACAUUUCAAACUUCACCUAUUCAAUAACUAAUUCGAUGGCUUGCUACAUGGUCAAUCUUUGGACCCCUUCCUGCCUCCAGAUAUCCCUUUCCUCAAUCAGGGGCUUCUACAAUUACCAGUUUCAAUUGUAUGGUAUAGUGUAAAUAUCAACAAAUUAGAUGUAGAUGCUAACAUAAUAAAUGUGAAUGCUAAGACAGCAACAUACAAUCGAACCUGCAAUUGUAUGAACCCCAAUCUCGCUUCCUAGUCCACCAUCUUUCUCUAGGUAAUAAUCUCCCUUCUAAUUUAUUCACAAAAUGCACCUUUCAUCACCUCCAAUAGCGUCGACAUGAUCUUUACCCUAGAAGACUAUUCACCGACUCUCAAUUGACGUCAGAAAAUCUAAGAGUAAUUCUACUUUACCCUAAGAUUGAUAUCAACAAGACAAGGACAAUUUAGAAUUAUUACACGCCUCUUCUUAAUAGGAAAAAGAAAUAGAGAAGAAAGUCAGGCCAGGUCUAAUUUCUUUUCAAAGGCAAUACAACAUUACGAAAUCAAGCAUUCAUUCAUACAAAUAUUUCAUAGUCACCGGUUUGCUGAGUAGAAAAAUUUAGACAAAAACUUAAUAUUAUAUUGUUUAAGAGUUAACAAUUUAGAGCUUAAUCUCCUUGUACUUUGGAGUUAACAAUUUAGAGCUUAAUCUCCUUGUACUUUGGACUAAACUUGAACGUGAAAGGAAAUCCCAAAACCAUAUUGGGCAUGAAUUCACACUUAAUAUACCCAAUAAAAGAUGGCGACUGGUGAAAGGCAGUGGAGACUGGUGGAGAGAUUUGAGGAAUAGAAGCAGACGGAAAAGCAACAAAUUUUUGCCGAAAAACGGUCACUUUCAUGGUUAAUUUUGCUACUCUCCAAUUGUACUUGACCAAUUACAACAAUUUCAUGGAGUUUGAUACGUGAAAAGAAUUUUUUAUAAAUUUUAUUUUGAUCCAUAAUGUUAUCUUUACAUAUAUAAAACAUUUUACAAUUUUGAUUUUGGCGCAGCUAACUUUUGGUUAACAAAAAUGCUCAUGUUUAAAAAACCAGAAAUAAAACAAAACAAGAAACAAAAGAAAUAAGAGGGUAGCAUAGACAUUUUGGAUUUUUCCGUUAAUUUGGAUGAUUUCCACCCACGUUCUAAUUUAAUCCAAAACACAAAGGAAUUACGUAGAGGUUUUAAAUAAUCAGGGAGCUUCAUGAUCGAACCCCAAACCACGUGAUAGCAUACAAGAGUUCUAUUUCACUAUCGGUAGACAAAGACUUUCUAUGGUUGAUGUACCGUAGGAAAAAAUCUGCCUAUACAACGUGAUAGCAUUUUUUCAAAAACACAAGAUGGAAAAUUGCCCCCUUAAACGUGGAAAUUCAUGAUCUUUCCUCGAACAAAGAAUACUCACGCCUAUUCAAGAUGGAAAAUUGCCCCCUUAAACGUCUAUUUGUCAAUUCUUGAAAAAAGAAUACUCACGCCUAAAACACGGCCUCUUCAUCUGCAGAAUUCUAAAAAGUUACGUAAACUCUAUAAACAAGUUGAUAGGUACAAUCGUACCCAAGAUCAAGUACAGAUAGUUGUACAUUCACUGCUGCAAUAACUAAUCUGAUGACUUACAAACAUAUCAUGGUCAAUCGUUGAAUGGUAAUGAGUCUUUUGUUAUGCAUUAGUAUUAGUGUGUACACUCUAAUAGAUUGAUACUUAUACUCUUUAAAUUAUCAUAAUAAUACCCUUAAUUAACUUUAACUCUUAAAAAGAAUACGUGUUAAUACACGAGAGUGUGUAACCUGAAUUGUUACUUAUACAUUAGUGUGUAAUAGAUAGGGAUGGCAGUGAGGGCGAGUGCCCGCGGGGGGCUCUCGGGGCGGGGGCGGGGGAGAAUUUUUUCCCCCCGUUUAGAAACGGGGCAGGGGACGGGGGAGUAUACCCCCGCCCCAUCCCCCGCCCCGCCACCCGCAAAAAAAAUUAUAUAUAUAUAAUUAUAUAUAAUAUGUAAUUUAAUUAGUUAUAAACUUAUGAUAAUGAUAUUAUUAGUUAGAUGUAUUAUAUAAUGUAUAUUAGUGUAUGUAAUAUAAUUAAUAUUAUCAAUUAUACGAAUAAUUAGACAUGUCCACUAAUAGAGUUUAUUAAUUAGUUAUACUAAAUUUACUAAUACAUUUGUACUAAAUUUCUAAUUACACUUAAUAGAAUAACACUUUUUUCUAAAAAAAAAAGCACAAACACAAUAAUGAAUUAGUGAUUGUAUUUGUACCAAAAGUGAAAACUUAACUAUUUUAGUUGUAUUUAUUUCAUCAUGUUGGAUUGUAUUCAAAUAAUUUUUGUUUGAUUGUUUUUAUGAGUUUCAAUUGUAAAAUUAAAAUGAAUAAUAACUUGAUGAUGUGUUGAUAUUUUAGUACUUGAUUAUUUAUUGAUUUAACUAUAAUAAAAUUUUAUUUUAUUAAAAUUUAACUAUAAUAAAAUUUUAUUAACCAAACGAGUUAUUAAUCCCGCGGGGGCACCCACGGGGGAAGCGGGGCGGGGCGGGGGAGUGGGAGGCGGGGGACGGGGCGGGGGUGGGGGGAGUUGUAGGUAGCGGGGCGGGGGAUGGGGGAGGGGUCCCCCGCCCCAACCCCGCCAUCCCCCGCCCCGUUGCCAUCCCUAGUAAUAGACUGGCAAGCAUUGUGGUGGUCAUUGAGAACUUACUGGAGAAAUAGUCCUAUAAGCUGUUCAAUGAGCAAUCACAACUUGCUAAUUGGAUGACUAAUAUAGCUCUAGCUGUAAUGUUUUAAUUAAAUUACAUCACUAACGUUGGGAUGACUUUUUAACCAAAAAAAAAUGCCUUAGUUCAAGCUUUUCCCUUUAUUGUGCAUUUUUUAAAGCAUUUGAUAGGCACUGCAAAUCUGUCAUUUUGGACAUUUUAUUAUUGACUAACAAUGAAAGCCGUGACGUCUACCCAUAACCAACACAAGAUUAAAUUAAUAUUAGAAAAAAUAAUUGAGUAAUUGGAAAAAAAAAAAGAGACUCAUUUUCAUUGAAACCCACCGACAAACUAAACGUGUCCAUGGCUUUUGAAUAGUGCAUUCAACGUUUAAUUGUAUAGUCCAGUUCAUUGCAGAUUACAUGGAGUAAAGAUUGUGCUCUUUCCUUUUUCACCCCUUUUGGAAUCGAUACUGUGGAGAAUUGGGUUUUUCCCUUCUUUUUUUCUUUUCUUUCCUUCUGUGCUUUGCAAAACAUAGGUAAAAAUAUGAAAUCCGAAGCAUUCUUUAAUUGGGAUUAAGUAUUGUUGUUGAAAUUAAAAAGAAAAAAGAAAGAACAACAAAAUUCCCAAUCUGGGUUGAUUGUUGAGCUCUAGAUUGGUUGCAUCGUGCUUCCAUAGAAGCUCUCUUAGUGUGAUACACUGCUUUCAAUCAGUUUAACACGGGAAAAAAAAAAAAAGAGAUGAAAAGCAAAUUUGGUGGGGAUAAUUUCAGAAACCUCCCCUGAAGAUUUUGACUAUUCUACUGGUCUCCCUUCAGAUUUUAAAAAUUACACUAAUCUUCCUUGAAGUUAAUUAUCUUGUAACAUUUAAAUUCAAUCAAUAAUUUAAAAAAUGAUAUUAUGAGAGAGAAAAUAAUGAUUUUAUCAUUGCCCCCCAUCUUACUACAUUAUUUAAUUAAUUUAAUAGCAACCCACACAUUAAAGAAAAAUAUUAAAAUUUGUUGUUUAUCAUUAAAGAUCAAAUCGCUUAUAACAUCAAAUAAUAGUAUAUUAUUUAUAUUUUUCACUCAAUAUAAUAUCCAAAUUACUCUUUUCAAUUACAUACCCAUUGUUAGACAAUCAACAACAAAUAACCAAAAAAUUUGCAACCAAAAUAUUACAAAAAAAUAAACUUUAACAUAUAAAUAUUCUUAUCAACAUAUUAAAGUUAGUUACUGAAAUUUUUAUGCUGUUAAACUUCACUCUUUUUGGUUACAGAUUUUUUUGAUUAUUUGUUAUUAAUUAUGUUUGAUGAUGGAUUUAUAAUUGAAAAGAACAAUUUGAAACUUACAUUAAGUAAAAUAUAUAGAGUGAUAUACUAUUUUUUAUAACAUAUGUGAUUCAAUCCUUCUUGAUAGGAUUGGUAAUAGAGGUAGAGGGGGGAGCCGGCUGCAUCCGGUCUACUUUUCAUAGAUAGUACAAUAUUGCGAAAUCGAUCGCAUUCACGCAAUAUUAUUUCCAAGUCAUUGCAUGGCUAAGCUGCAAAAAAAGUACGAACACAUGUUAUUAUAUAGCUUACGAUUCAAAACUUUAGAGCAUAACCCUCCACCUAACACAAUUGAAUAAUGAACAUUCACGUUUGUCAAAUCUGUCAAAGCACAGUUUGAGGACAACCCAUUCCAACCUGCAAAAGAUUUUUUACUUUUCUAAAGUUGUUGAGAGCUGUAAAAAGACUUACCAUGCUUGCAUCCUCCGAGCCUUGGGAGUUAAAAAUGAAGGCACUGAGUGCUAUAAAAAGGGGAAUAGAGGCUGCCUAGAAGCAUAUCAGCCUAAAACAAGAAUUUGUAGUUAAGAUGGGAAGCAAAGCAAAAGCAAUGGGGUCUGGGCUGACUCCUCUUCUUGCCACUGUUUUAGUGGUGUUUGUUGCUCUUGGCUUGCCCUCACAAACUGCAGCUGAUGAUCACUACAAGUAUUCAUCUCCUCCUCCUCCUUACCACUAUCCCUCACCACCACCACCAGUGCAUAUACCUCCACCUCAUCCUGUUUACAAGUACAAAUCUCCACCACACCCCCAGUACAAGUAUAAGUCACCACCACCACCUCCUCAUCCGGUAUACAGUCUCCUCCGCCACCACACACCCAGUUUACAAGUACAAGUCACCACCACCACCUCCUCAUCCGGUACCACACCCAGUUUACAAGUAUAAGUCUCCUCCGCCACCAGUUUACAAAUACAAGUCUCCUCCACCACCACCUCCAGUGUACAAAUACAAGUCUCCACCACCACCAGUUUACCACUACAAGUCUCCACCACAGUUUACAAAUACAAGUCUCCACCACCACCCCCAGUUUACAAAUACAAGUCUCCACCACCACCAGUUUACCACUACAAGUCACCACCACCUCCUCCCCCAGUUUACAAAUACAAGUCUCCACCACCUCCUCACCACUACUAAGCAAUUGCUUCUGAGGUAAUAACACUUGUUCAAUAUACCCACUUCUGCAUGAUAAAGCAUAUCUCUAUCAACACAAACUGUCAUGUCUAUCAUGCUAAGUGCCUUCACUUCAUCCACCAAAAUGACUGCUAGAAAAUUUUUUUUAUGUUACCAAAGAAAGGCAUCAUUUUUUCCCUCUGUUAUCAAGAACUUGUACAGUAUAUAGAUUAAAGAGUAUUUUUUUAACUAGCUUAUCAACUGAGAAAUGCAUAUAGCUGAUAGCCAGCUGAAUAUUUGCAGGCAAAGGAGAAGGAAACCAGUGUUUGAGACCUUCUUGAAGAUGUAGAAGCAUAAGAAUUAAAGCCCAAUGUGAAGAUGAUGAUUUCAAGUUUUUCUACGUUACCAUUUCUUUAUCUAAAUUGGUUGUAGCGCCUUAGUUCCUUUGUUUAUGGGAUUUGUAUCGUUUUACGUACCAUGCAGUACAUGUCAUGUUUGUAAGGUUUUCUAUCCUGCCGGCAAACCGCAGGUUCCAUGUAAUAAAUCAAUACUAUUUAUAUUACGACACUUUUCUCUGUUUCUCUUAUAUUUUGUCGUCUUUAAUAUUCUUAAUCAUAUUUUUAACAAAAAUAUUCAAACACUUAGGCAAUCUGGUCUAAUGCUAAUUGUAUGUUUUACUUUUCUUUUUCACCUGCUCCCCUUUUCAACUCAAAAGGAUGCAAUAGUUUGUGAUCACUGUUUAAGACGGAAGCAUGAUACUAAUGAAUAUCUCAUUGAAACUCAAGGAAACUAACAUUGCGAAAAGUGUAAAUCUUGAUUUGAUGCAACUAUUUAUUCGUGGAAUCUAUAGUUACAAAACUCAAAUUCUGACUGCGCCAUUGAUAAAUUAUUAAUGACGCUAUCAUCAUUAUUUAUCCCUAACUAGUUUCGACUACAACUGAACCCAAUAUUUUCCCCAUGAUAAAAGUUUUUGACUAUUUUACUGGCCUCUCUUCAAAUUUUAAAAAUUACACUAAUCUUCAUUGAGAUUAAUUAUCUUGUAACAUUUAAGUCCAAUUAAUAAUUAAAAAAUGAUAUUAUGAGAGAGAAAAUAAUAUAAUUUUAUCAUUGCCCCCCAUCUUGCUAUAUUAUUUAAUUAAUUUAAUAGCAACCCACACAUUAAAGAAAAAUACUAAAAUUUGCUGCUUUUCAUUAAAGAUCAAAUUGCAUAUGCCAUAAAACAUAGUAUAUCAUUCUAUAUGUUUCACUUAAUGUAAGAUCCCAAUUGUUCUUUUCAAUUACAAACCCAUUGUCAAUAACAAAUAACCAAAAAAUUUGCAACCAAAAUAUUACAAAAAAAAACUUCAACAUCAUAAAUAUUCUUACCACCUCUAGUGCAUUCACCCUCAUAAAAUAAUUCAAGACCCUACUGUCAUAAAAUGACUGAUCAACUCCCGUAAACCUAAUUUGACAACAUUUAAAUGGAGAACUUUAGCUAAAAGAAUUAUGGUCAAGCUAAAGAAAAAACCAGUUAUUUUCCAACAUAUGCAAUCAUUGAUCAGGGAAAAAAAAAAGAGCAAAAAGACAUCUUCAAUCAUUUAAUAGCUUACAGGGCAAAUUAACCCCUAAGCGAAAACUGGUUGCUCUAGAAUCAAAAUUUUACUUUAGUUACCCAGGCAACUUUUUUGUUGCUUUUUUUUUUUUUUUCCUUUAGUUUUGCCCCCUCUGUCAAGCUUAUAAAAUUAUUAAGAUAAUAAAAGUGCCUUGAAUAGUAUUAAUAUAUCCAUUGACUUGAGCUGUCGUCAGUUUGCGAUUCCAUGAGGCCUUUUCAAAGUACUCAGAAAAUGGGGAGUCAUGAAAUCCAUUUGUUCUAUUCAUUGCUAAGAUGCUUUUCUCUAUAAAGAGACUUCCUAACGAAAAUACUUUGUAGAUUUCUUUACUCCAAGUGGUGCAUGGAAAAUUAAUAUUUUCAAUUAUCAAAUAAAAUUCCCUUUUUUCGGCGUAGAUUUCAUCCAUCCAGCUGUUAACACAUUCUAUAAAUCCGAAUUGACUAAUCUUUUCGUUUCCAUUUUCCAACUUGCGAAUACGGCAUAUAGUGUCUGCUAAACACUAUAUAUUCUCUGCCAAAUAUGAAUACAUAUCACUUUUCUGAGCAAGUGCAGAGUCAUUAUCAUUUUUAUUCCCACCUAACAAAUUAGGGAUAAAAAAGUUAAUAAUCUUUACAUGCUAUCAGGUCACAAGUUAAUAAUCUUUUAAAGAACAUGUUAAAUUAAUUUAUUGGUAUGAAUAGUAGUCAAAGAAGUAUGUUAAAGUUAGUAAUCUUUAAAAUAAUAUGUUAAAAUCAUUCGUACAAAUUAGUCAGAGAAGUAGCAUAAACACCGCGAUGCAAUUAAUACUUUCAAUCUCAAGGUCUCUAUUAUGGAAAUUUGCAUCGGUCAAUAUACACUUGGCAUAAUAUAAUCUCCCAACUCAUUUCUUUACAAAUGCACCUUUAAUCACCACCAAAAGGUGUGGACAUGAUCUUUACCCUAGAAAACUAUUCACCGACAGGCAAAUUGACGUCAGAAAUACUGAGGAAUUCUAGUUUCCUUCGGGUUCAUGCCAUGUUGUAUCCUUCAACUGUAACUCGAUUUCUAAGCUGUAAUUUGUGACAUAAUAGUCCUUAAACUAUGAAACCCUUCUUACUUAAUUACAAUGGUUAAUACAAUGCCCGUGACUAGACAAGUAUGAAGCAACCAUAACAGAAAAAAAAUCCAAAAUUAGAGAAAAGAAAGAAGUUUCGCGACCACCACCAGUUUACAAGUCACCUCCACCACCUCCUCCAGUUUACAAGUCACCUCCACCACCUUACCAUUAUUCCUCACCACCACCUCCAGUGCAUUCACCCCCACCACCACCAGUUUACAAGUCUCCGCCACCACCUUACCAUUAUUCCUCACCACCACCUCCUGUGCAUGCACCUCCACCACCAAUUUACAAGUCACCUCCUCCAGUUUACAAGUCUCCACCACCACCUUACGAUUAUUCCUCACCACCACCUCCAGUGCAUUCACCCCCACCACCACCAAUUUAUAAGUCUCCCCCACCGCCUCCCCCAGUAUAUAAGUCACCACCACCACCUCCUCCAGUAUACAAAUCACCUCCACCACCUCCUCCAGUUGACAAAUCUCCACCACCACCAAUUUAUAAAUACAAGUCUCCUCCACUACCUCCUCCAGUGUACAAGUCAUCACCACCACCUGCUUACAAGUCUCCACCUCCUCCAGUUUACAGUUCCCCACCACCACCAAUCUACAAGUCUCCACCUCCACCCUACCAUUACUACUACAAUUCUCCUCCUCCUCCUCGUCACUACUAAGCAAUUGUAUCCAAGUUUUUGAGGUAAUAACGCUUAACCAAUAAAUUAACUUUCGCAUGAUAAACCUUAUCUCUAUCAAGACAAACUGCCAUGUGUAUCAUGCCAAAUACGUACACCUAGAUCCAUGAAAAUGAAUGGUGAGGAGGGCCAUUUAGGCUCGGAGCGCCCUAGGCCUAGUUCCCCACCAUUUCCUGAAGUGCCGCCUCGGGUAUUAUCCUGGAAGGCGAUCGCGGCCCAUUUACCACCUCGGCUACAAUGUCAGGUCGUAACACCGAGGUGGACAUUGAAUGACAACUACGAAAAGGGGAGAUGUGAUCUCUGACACCUGAGCAAAGGCUGCUCUGACCCGCCGCCUGAAUCUGACAGAAUGUCCCAUCACGUCUCUUCAUGGAGACCGGUCAAGUCCACCUGAUCCACUGACUAUCUCAGAUCUUUUGGGACCCGUGCAAACAUCUCCUCUCUCCUAUCAGUCCCCUAUAAAUACACGAUACUUCUACUGAAAAAGGAGAUGACCAAUUUCUGGUAAAACACACUCCACUCAUUAUUUACUUCUCUAUAUCCGAACUGACUUAAGCUUCGGAGUUAUACCGGGGGAUCCAGCCCCUUUCUUAUCCAAGCAGGUGACUUCGUCCAAGAGAGUUGCCCAAGGUAAAGAUAUUCUUCCAAUUGAGGUGACUCACUCCUGCGGGUCGAAAAUCACCUCUUCAAUUGGCGCCGUCUGUGGGAACCGCAAAGAUAUUAGAAGAUGAAGCCUGCGCGUUCUAGAAGCAGAAAAGCUCUCACUAUCGAGGCUGGGCAAAGCAAUGCAGCUCAACAAGAAAAUAUUUCUGAAGGGCAGGAGUCCCCAAGGACUCAGCCCGCAAACGAAAAAGCCAUAACCCGUAUGGCCGAGUUUGUGACCGAGAACCCCAACAUCUUUGAAGAGUUGGGAAGAUACCUGAAGAGGCAAGGCAAACAAAAGGCCGAGUCCUCUAAAAGGAUGUCAGAUGGGUCUCUUGAGGACUCAUCUGAGGAGGAGUCGGAUGGAAGGCACUUAAGCCGAAGUGCCUCAAAGCGAGCAUUUUCUAAGGCCACUUCUAAGGUAGCCUCCCUGACCAAGGCGUUUUCCCGAGGGCUCUUGGGCCGACGACCCGAGGAAGAACCUCGGCCCUUGGGAAUACCCGGGGUGGACUGCAUGAGGGCUCCACCGUUCACGGAUGAUAUAAACGAGGAAAGGCUUCCUCCCAAUUUUAAGCUCCCCGCAGUACAAUCUUACGAUGGCCGAGGUGAUCCCGAGAAUCACAUCCAUACCUUCAUCUCGGCCUUCCAAAUAUACUGCAUCCCAGACCCUGUCAUAUGUCGGGCCUUUCCAGUAUUCCUCAGAGGAACUGCUCGAAAAUGGUUCUGAGCUCUAGAACCUAGGAGCAUUUCGACCCUGGGUGAAUUAGUGGAGAAGUUUCUCCACCGAUUUGUCUCCUCCCGACCUACGACUAGGACCUCGGCUUACCUGCUCACCGUGCAGCAGAACCCGGGAGAGUCACUCCGGUCGUACGUCCGGAGGUUCCAUGAGGAAAGCGUUCAGAUACCUGACCCCAAUGAGCAGGUAACCCUCGCUGCCUUUACCCAUGGACUCGUUGCCGGGGAGUUCAAUACGGGGAUCCAUAAAAAAUACCCCCGCACACUGCAUGAAUUGUGGUUGAAGGUUGAAAAGGGCAUACAGGCCGAAGACCUCCAUCGCAUGAAGAAAGAGGUCCAAGCCACCCGUCCAAGGGCUGAGCCCAGAAAGGGAAAAGACGCUGGCCGAACUGAAGUAGGGUCGGGAAGUGGCUUCCGAAGUCCUGGCCGAGACCGCCGCAGCGUGUUCGACAGGAUAUCCAAGGGGAAGUCACCUAUUCCCGAGUCCGAGUUGACUCCUUUAAAUACUACCCGAUCUCACGUGUUGUCCGUGAUGGAACAAAACAACCUCGGCAAGGGCCCGCCGAGGAUGUUUGGAAGCAGAGACAAGAGGAACUCGAACCUCUACUGCUUGUAUCAUCGUGACAUUGGUCACGAAACUGAGGAUUGCAACGAUCUCAAGAAGGAGAUCGAGAACCUCAUUAGACGGGGACACUUGAAACAGUUCAUCCGCAGAGGUGGAGGUCACCAACGUGACGAAAACCGGCAUGACAAAUGAGGUGACCAACGCCGAGAUGAGCGGCGGAGCUCCAGAAGCAGUUGCCGACCUCCUGAGGAUCCCAGGGAGACGAAAAGGCCUCCCCCAGACGGAUCUUCGGGACAUGGGCCAACCAUUGCCCGGGUCAUUAACACCAUUGCCGGAGGUCCGACGGGAGGGGACAGUCAGAACUCCCGGAAGAGAACCUAUAAGCAGGCUAACCCGGAUCAGGCCGAGUCGAGUUCUCGCCUGUCCGAGGUGAUCACCUACGGGCUCAGUGAUCCCAUCCCAGCUGCAUCCAGCAGUCAUGAAACCUUGGUGAUUGAAGUCCUCACCAAUAACUACAUUGUGAAAAGGUCUACAUAGACCCGGGAAGUUCAGUUGACGUCAUGUACCUCCGUACCUUUGAGAGCCUUAAAAUGGCUAAGGGGUGCAUGACCCCGCUGAGAACCCCUCUUGUAGGGUUCGGGGGACACGUGGUGCACCCCGAAGGGAUGGUGACUCUGACAGUGACCAUAGGGCAUCACUCUCGCUGUAGAACCGUCCCUGUCAAUUUUGUGGUGGUUAAGGCUGACUCCCCAUACAACCUACUUUUAGGUCGGCCUACGCUCAAUGCCUUGCGGGCGGUCUACUCCACCUACCACCUGAGCUUCAAGUUUCCUACCCCAGCAGGGGUGGCCGAGGUCAGCAGCGACGUCUGUGCUGUCCGGGAGUGCUACCUCGCCACCCUACAAGCAGCCUCCCCGUCUACCUCCGGUGCGAGGUCCGAGAAGAGGUCAAAUAUCCUCUCAAUAGAUAGCAUCGAUCCUCAGUGAGCUGAGAAGGUCCCGAGGCUGGAGACUGGGGAUGAGGUGGAAGAGAUUCCCCUGGACCCCACGAAACCUGAUCAGACAGUUCGCGUUGGUACCCGAUUGCCCGGUCCUAUCCGAAGAGGUAUGAUGGACCUCCUCAGGGAAUACCGGGACGUCUUUGCUUGGGCCGCCGAAGAGGUCCAAGGAGUCCCGCACCAUCUCAUGAUGCAUGACUGAACGUCGACCCCCAAGUCCGUCCGGUCAAACAGAAGAGAAGGCACAUCGGCCCUGAGCGCAGCCAAGCUGUUGGUGAGGAAGUGGACAAGCUUUUACCCGCUAAAAUAAUCCGAAAAGUCCAAUACCCGAUCUGGUUGUCUAACUCGGUCAUGGUCAAGAAGGAUACGGGGGCUUGGAGAAUGUGCGUCGAUUUUACCGACCUCAACAAAGCCUGCUCCAAGGAUUGCUACCCCUUGCCCAAAGUCGAUACUUUGGUAGACUCAGCAAUGGGCUACGAGAUCCUCUGUUUCUGGGAUGCAUUCAAAGGCUAUCACCAAAUUGGGAUGAGUCAAGAAAACCAGGAGAAAACGGCCUUCUACACCGACCGCGGCACGUACUGUUAUACUACCAUGCCAUUCGGGUUGAAGAAUGCCGGAGCCACUUAUCAACGCUUGGUCAACCAAGCAUUCAAGUCUCAAAUCGGCCGGAAUGUUGAGGCCUAUGUAGAUGACAUCCUCCUCAAAAGCCAGACGAACUCCACCUUCCUGGCCGACUUGAAGGAGGUCCUUGACAUCCUGCGGAAGGUGAAAAUGAUGCUGAACCCCAAGAAAUGUGUUUUUGGGGUCACCUCGGGGAAAUUUCUAGGUUACCUCGUCUCAAGGCGAGGUAUCGAAGCAAAUCCGGAUAAGGUGCGAGCCAUCCAGGAGAUGUCUCCACCCCGGUGCGUCCGCGAUGUCCAAAGGCUGACAGGGCGAUUAGCCGCCCUGAAUCGGUUCUUAUCGCAGUCGGCAGCUAAAGCACUGCCCUUUUUCAAAGUGUUGAAGAAAGCUGACCAUUUCUCCUGGACGGAAGAGUGUCAACAGGCGUUUGAGCAGUUGAAGGAUUACCUUCACUACCUUCCAACGCUCACCUCACCUCGUCCGGGGGACAAAUUAAUCUUAUACCUUUCUGCUGCGGCCGAAGCGGUGAGUGCCGUGCUGAUAAGGAAGGAAGGGGUCCAAAUGCCCGUCUACUACGUUAGCCGAGUCCUCCGAGGUCCAGAGACCAGGUACACACAAGCAGAGAAACUUGUGCUAGCCCUGAUCCACGCCGCCCGCAGACUCAAGCCCUACUUCCUAGCUCACCACGUCUGCUUGAGGACUGAUCAACCACUUCGGCAGAUUUUGACACGACCAGAGGUUUCGGGACGUCUUACCAAAUGGGCCAUUGAGCUGGGGGAGUACGACCUAACUUAUGAGCCUCGCACAGCGAUCAAGGCCCAGGCUCUCGCAGACUUCGUAGCCGAGCUCACCUUUGACGAGGUGCAAGGAUCCGUCCCGGCUGCCACAUCGGCCACAGUUGAUGUGGCCACCACUGGGCUCCAGCGGUGGAUCCUACACGUGGACGGUUCGUCAACAGUGAGGGUAGUGGAGCAGGCUUGCUCCUCGAAGACCCCCAAGGAGAAAUAUGCUAAUAUGCCUUAAGAUUUGACUUCGCUGCUUCAAACAAUGAAGCUGAAUACGAAGCCGUCAUUGCUGGACUGCAGCUAGCUCGCAAGCUCGGGGCCGCACACAUCUUGGUUUAUAGUGAUUCCCAACUCGUCGUGUGCCAGAUAUUAGGUGAGUACGAAGCCAGGGACGAGGUGAUGCAUCGUUACCUCUCCAAGGUCCUCCAGUUGGCGACUCACUUCGAGUCUUUUGAAAUUCAAAGAAUACCGCUAUCGAAAAACAGAAGGGCUGACGCCCUCUCCCGGCUUGCCUCAACCUCUUUCUCUGACCUGAACAAGACGGUUCUCGUUGAAGUUCUAGCCGAACCAGGAUAUGUAGCCGAGGUAGUAUACCCCGUCUACCCUGGGGACACCUGGAUGGGUCCCCUGACUCGAUUUUUCAGCCAGGGUGAGCUCCCCGAAGACCGAGCUGAGUCACGGAAGCUCCAACGAAAAGCAGCACGGUACAUUCUCCGACAAGGCCUUUUAUACAAAAGGUCUUACCUCGGCCCUUAGUUGCGAUGUAUCACGCCCGAGGAAGGCCAGAGAAUCCUCCAAGACAUACAUGAGGGGCUCUGUGGUGCUCACGUCGGCUACAGAAUGCUGGUAAAAAAGGCUUUGUUACUUGGGUAUUUUUGGCCCACUAUGAGGAUAGAUGCCCAGGUCAUGGUCCUUUGCUGCCCCUCCUGCCAGCAUCACGCUCCUGAGCACCACCAGCCGACCAAUUUAAUGAUCCCUAUCACCUCGUCAUGGCCAUUUGAGCAAUGGGGAACGGACAUAAUUGGCCCCUUUCCCAGAGCUCCAGGCAAUUAUACCUACGUGGUGGUAGCAGUGGACUACUUCACCAAAUGGGUCGAAGCUGAACCCCUAAAAAAUAUCACUGGUGCGGCAGUCCAGAAAUUCUUCUGGAAGAAUGUGGUUUGCCGCUUCGGCCUACCCCGGGUGAUCAUCUCGGAUAAUGGCCGACAGUUCGCCGAUAAUCCUUUCAAGGCCUGGUGUGAGAACCUCGGGGUCAAACAGCAUUUCACUUCGGUGGGACACCCCCAAGCCAACGGACAAGCCGAAAACUUCAAUCGCACGCUCCUCCAUGGCCUCAAGACCAGGCUCCACCAGGCUGGAUCGUUUUGGAUGGAAGAGCUCCCCAGUGUGCUGUGGUCCUACCGAACUACGCCGAGAUCAGCAACCCAGGAAACCCCGUUUUCCUUAACCUACGGGUCAGAAGCUGUUGUUCCAGCCGAAUUCAUCACCCCGAGUCCACGAAUGGCCGCAUAUGCUGCCGAAGUCAAUGAAGAAGAACGGCGAGUUGACCUCGACCUCGUCGAAGAGAAGCGUGAUAUGGCCGCGGCCAAAGUUGCUGUUUACAAAAAUAUCGUAGCUGGCUACUACAACGCUCGGGUUAAACAUUUGCGGUUCAGUCCGGGAGACCUGGUGCUCAGGAAGAACUCAGUCAGCCGGGCUGAACCUCAGGGUAAACUAACCCCCAAGUGGGAGGGACCAUACCGUGUUGUUGAGUCCAGCCAAAAUGGAUAUUGUAAAUUGGCAUACCGAGAUGGGUCUCUGAGUGCCCCGAACUUGGCAUGCUGAAAAUCUUAAGUUGUACUACCCUUGAGGGUAUGUGCUUUUAAUCUUGAGUUAUUUCACACUUAUUUUCAUUUCAUUAUAAGUGAAAAAUAAGGGGACAAAGUAGCAGUAAAGAGGAAAACCGAAUUUAAUUAAAAAGAAAGCAAGAAUAUGAACUCAAUUCCAUUGAAUUACAUAAAAGUAGAAAGCCGAGGUCACCUUUAAUUAGGAAGAAAGCAAGAAUAUAAACUCAAUUCCAUUGAAUUACAUAAAAGUAGAAAGCCGAGGUCACCUUUGACCUCGGCCUACAAUGACAAAAAAAAAAACAAGUGCCUCUAGGCACUCCCUACCCUGACAUCCUGGCCCCCCGUGGUCGCGCCACCCGUUUCGGCACCCUGUCCACCCUCAGCUCCUCCACCGGCCUGGUCGUCUUCAGUACCAUCUAGUUCAAACUCCUGGAGCCAUUUGUUGAAUUCGGCUCGGACUUCGGUUAGGUCUUUCUCAGUCCGGAUGCCCUCAGCCAUGCUGUCGCAUAGCUCCUUGGCAUCCUCGUUAUAGUGCGAAGUGCUCUGAAGGGACUCCAGUUGUUCAGAGGGAAGAAAGGAUGCCGCGUCAUUAAUAGCCGACGUGUACCCGAACAUGAAGCUUGGCCGGGUGAGCUCGCCGAGGUCACGGAUGAAGGACUCUGACGUCCGGAAGGCUUCCACAGCAGUGACCCCGGCCUUGUCCAUGGCCUCCCUGUUUGACUGUUCUUCUUGGGCCCUCCUUUUUUUCUCCUCAUCAAGAGCAGUCACCAGGGAAUUGUUCGCGACCUCGGCCCUUUUGUUAGCCGCCUUGGCCUUGUCACGCUCCAACUCGGUUGCCUUCAGUUUUUCUUCCAACUCGGCAAUUCUCUUCUGGAGCUCGGCAGGAGGCUCAUAGUUUUCCAUGAACUUUCCAUACCGUUGAAUCAUCUCGACAAAAAAAGCCGUGGUAGAGGCCCAUGACACCGAGGCGCUCUGCAUCAACUCCCCUGCGGAGAGCUUCCUAGCAUAAGUGCUAUCUCGUGGCAGCACUGAAUGCACCAAGAGCUCCUGAGCGACCAAAGGGUUCUUGCAGCGAUCGUUGAAAUUAAUCUCCCACUCUGGACACCAGUGUGAUCCGGGGUGUCUCUUGUCCUCCUCAGCUGCCUUGAAAGGCACAUGAUGGAGUUUGAACAAAGAUGACCCCGUGACGGGGUUCUCCGGAAAUAUGGUCACACCCUGACCCCGGGGGGGAGUGGCAAUCGUGACCCAGCGAGAAGGGAUUCCCACCGGAAUUGCCGAGGCUCGGGAACCUCCCGGAGUGGCCGAGGUGUGCGAGCCCUCGCCCACGAUCACCACGGCAGGCUCGCGGUCGCCCGACGCCGCGGUGGUUUUCUUAGCCGGCCUGGAAGAGGACCCUGCAGUGUCCUUGCGCUUUUUGGGAGCUCUUUUGACCACCUCGACAUCUCCCGAGGUUAUCAGGUCGAAAAUCUUCGUCACUGCAAAGUAGGAGACGAAGUCAGUUAGAAUUCAAGAGGGAUAAACUAAAAGGGAAGAAAUGGAAAAAUACAAAGUCUGUGAAGCCUAGUCGAGAGUAAGACAGGCUGGUCAGAGCUCGUCAAGGCUCAACUGAUCCCGCCUUCCACGAGCACCACUUCGGGAAAAUCCCAGCAGUUUAUCCUGAGGCCCGACCCCGUUAACUUCUGGAAGUUACGCUCUUCUAACUUCCCUGGAGAUAUCUCCUUGAUCGAGGUGGGAGGCCUCCACCAGAAUCCGCGAGGGAAGUCAUCGGCCGAGACGAAGAAGAAGUUUUGCUUCCACUCCUUUAUUGAGUUCGGAGCAUCAACCACCAACUUCGGAACUUUGUUUCCGAAGUAGAACCAUCCUUUUUCACUUCUGCUGUUCUUGAGUGAGUAACAGCGGCGAAAGAGGUUGACCUAAGGUUGUAUCUCCUGAUGUCGGCAAAGUAGCUGGAAGCCAACGAGAAUGCGAAUAGCGUUAGGGGUGAGUUGAGUGAUUCUCACCCCCCAGUACCUCAGGCAGUCCCGAAGAAACCUCGUCGUGGGCACUCUGAGUCCGGCCUCCAGCUGUUCCUGAUAGAUAGUCACCUUGCCCUUUGGUGGCAGUGCGGCUGACUGAUGCGGUUGGGGUAUGUAAAUACUAUAAUCCCUUCUCCAGGGAUACCUGCGGACCACCUCGGCUAUUGAGGCUUGUCCCAUACCACUACUGAAGAACGGCAUCUGGCCGUAGUCGAGAGUUGCCACGUUUGGAGGAGUGGAAGGUUCUUGUACUCCCUCGUCUCUAGGGAUCUCAAUCCCGAGGUCAUCGUUGUAUAGGACCUCGGGCUGGACCUCGAUCUCCUCGGGCUGCACCUCAACCGCCUCAGCUCGGCGUGAUGCCUCGGCACCUCCACCCUCAGCUUGGUGAGAUGCCUCAGCACCUCCGCCCUCGGACGCGGUCCUUUCCUGGGAGGGGUCAGGCCUCUCUGCCUCAGUGAGGUCAGGUCUCACUGUCUCUUUGUGCGUACGAGCUGUUCUAGCCAUUGUAUCAGAAGGGGAAGAAGUGAACUUACUUAGAAUCUGCGACUGGAAGAAGAUGCCGAAGUAGACGUGGUUUAGAAAGGUUGCCGAAGUGAAAAGAGAAAGAAACAGAGUUCUGGGGUGAUUCUUGAUUUUUGGUGAAGAGUAAAACGGUGAAAAAAGACCACUAUUUAUAGGCCACCAGGGUGAAACCCAAGAGACGGCACCCUCUCUCUUCAUUAAUGGGAGGACUGUUCGUCUGCCAACACAGCUGACAGCCGUCCCUUCAGUUAUCACUCAGUCCCAUCUAUGCGGUCAUGACGUGUCCGUGUUCCGUGUUUUAUACGCUUCUCAGCUUCGGGAAGUAACGACCACGGCGGAUGCCCAUCUCGCCCUUCUCAAAGCUUGGGGGGCUUAGUGAGGAGGGCCAUUUAGGCUCGGAGCGCCCGAGGCCUAGUUCCCCAUCAUUUCCUGAAGUGCCGCCUCGGGUAUUAUCCUGGAAGGCGAUCGCGGCCCAUUUACCACCUCGGCUACAAUGUCAAGUCGUAACACCGAGGUGGACAUUGAAUGACAACUACGAAAAGGGGAGAUGUGAUCUCUGACACCUGAGCAAAGGCUGCUCUGACCCGCCGCCUGAAUCUGACAGAAUGUCCCAUCACGUCUCUUCAUGGAGACCGGUCAAGUCCACCUGAUCCACUGACUAUCUCAGAUCUUUUGGGACCCGUGCAAACAUCUCCUCUCUCCUAUCGGUCCCCUAUAAAUACACAAUAUUUCUACUGAAAAAGGGGAUGACCAAUUUCUGGUAAAACACACUCCACUCAUUACUUACUUCUCUAUAUCCGAACUGACUUAAGUUUCGGAGUUAUACCGGGGGAUCCAGCCCCUUUUCUUAUUCAAGCAGGUGACUUCGUCCAAGAGAGUUGCCCAAGGUAAAGAUAUUCUUCGAAUUGAGGUGACUCACUCCUGCGGGUCGAAAAUCACCUCUUCAAAUGGUAGAAAGUUUUCUUAAGAACCAAGAACAGCAUUAGUAUUCCCUCUGCUUCCAAAAACUUGUGUAUUAAAUAGAUUAAUGAAUUGUUUAACAUGCUCAUCUACUUGAAAAUGCACAAUACCCAUAACCCACUGAAAUUUUUGCAGGAAAAGGGAAAGAGAAUCUGUGUUUGAGAGCUUCAUGAAGAUGUUGAAGAAUAAGAAUAAAAGCCCAAUGCGAGGAUGUUUUCAAGUUUUUCUAUGUCCACUUUAAUUUGUAAAUUGAAUUUUACAACUCAAUUAAUUCCUUGUUUGUGAGGUACGUAUUGUUUUACGUACCAUGCCGUACAUGUUUGUAAGGAUUUCUAUCCUAUUGGCAAAAGUCGGUUCCAUACAAUUAAUCAAUUCAUUUCACUUCUAUUGGCUCUACUAUUUAUGCAUGUUACGACACUCUUUCCCUUAUAUUUUGCCUUUAAUAUUAUGAGUCAAUAGUAAUAAUGGGCCUUUUUCUUAAAAUUAUACUAUUAUACAUAGGUAGUUUGGUCUAACGCUAAAUUCAUGUUUGUCUUUCUUUUAUUCCCUUUACAUCUCAAAGUAUACUAUAGUUUGUAAUCAUUGUGGUGAUGAUAUUACCAGCUGGUACUUAUAGUUUAAGGCAGAGACAUGAUAUUAACAACUAUCUCAUUGAAACAUAAGUCAAAAUCAUGACAAGUGUGAGUCUUGGUUAAUGCACAAUUUGUUAGUGGAAUUUAUAUUUAUAAAACUCAAAAAAAAUUUUUGACAAUGCUAUUACUAAUUAAUUAAGGACUUCAUUGCUAUAAUUUAUCGCUUACUAGUUUAAACUAUAAAUGAUCUCAAUACUUUUCUCCAUGAUGUCGAUUUCUUUAGACUACGAAAGGGAAAAAUUAGUGACAUAUCCCUUACUGAUUACAACAUCAGCAAAAAUUAGUUAUAAACUUUUCCGGUGGUUUUAAAUCCCUCGGGCACUAAGGUUUUUUGCACAUCGAGUGAAUUAAGGAACAUAGGCAAUUCGUUCUGCAUACCAAGUCCUUGUUUAAGAUGCACGUACUAAAAUGCAUCCACUUCAUUAAUUUGGAAAAUUGCCAUAGUUUUUUUUAAGCAUUUUGAUUUUUUACAUGAUUCAAAAUUUUCUUAUUGGAUACAAUCACUUUGUGUCAAGAACACAUUUUCAAUCAUCUUUUUUAUCUUCUCAAUAAGAAAAUAAAAAUUUAUUCAUGCUUUUCUAACAUAUCCAAUCAUUGAUCUGAAAAAUAAAGAAUUAAAAAAAAAAGACAUUUUCAAUCAUUGCUUACAGGGCAACUUCCCCAUGUGAACCUCUUCAAACAAAGCCAAUAAUAUGAAGGAACAUCUAAAUACACUUUUGCCCUAAAGGCUGGUUGCCUUGGGGUCAAAAUUUAACCUUCGGGAGUAUAAUUACCCGCCAAAUUUAUUAUUUUUUAUGGGUAUAUAGUUCCAAUUUUGCCUCCUGUUAAGCUUAUAAAUAUAUUACGACCCAGAAAAUAAAGGAAUCUUGAAUAGUAACAUGUCCAUUGACUUGAGUUGUCAUCAAUUUGGCUACUUCGAUUCCAUGAGGCCAAUCCAAUUCACACUAGCUAGAGAAAAUGGUGAUAAAGGCACUUAGAAAUUUAUAUGUAAUAUUGAUUGGUAGUAACUGAUAAGUAUAUAUUUUACGUGUUUUAAAUAUGUUUUAUUAGUUAGUUUUGGUGUGUUUUAACUACUUUUAUAACUAAUUAACUAGGAAUCUAGUGAAAAUAUGCAUUUUGUGGUUUGAAGUGUGAAAAUUGUAUUUCUAUGGAUUUUAAUGGUGAAAACUUCAUGUUUUUGUAGGUUUAAUGAUUCAAUCAUCAAAUGACAUGAUUUGAGAAGAUAAUUAGAUGAUUGAUGAUGUUUUGAAGUGAUAAAAAGAGAAUACAAAGUGCAAGAGAGGAAAUGCAAUCAAGAAUAAAAGAAGAAAAUUUUUGUAGCUUUGACAUAUUGUGGUAUUUUGGCAAUAUAUUGAGCUACAAUGAUUGGAUUAAGGUGAUUCUUAAACCAUUUGAAGCUAAGAUAUAGAUCUACAUUUGGUAUGAAGGCAUCGAAACCCAUGUCAGUCAUUUUCCUUGUCAAAAUGUUGAAAUACAGAAGUGCAACUCUGUUCUCGAAAGCUAAAACAGAGCUCUGGCUAGUCGAGGGUAUUUUCAUCAUUUCUUAGUCCACAGAGCUCCAAAUGAGAUGAUUCUUAAGGCAUUAGAACCCUAACUCAAAGAGCUACAACUUUCAUAUUUUGUACAAGAGUUAGUUCGGCCUCCAUCAUUCAGAAAAUAGUAGUUGAAGUGGUGCCAAAUGCAUAGAAGUGAAAACGCGAGCUAUCAAUACUCGACCUGAAGUCGCGUAUUCCUGAGGUCAUGCAUUCUCUUCUAUUUUCUGCAACUUGCCCUGCUUUCACAUAAUUUUUUCAUCUCAAUUCCAACUAUCAAUUUCGGCUAUAUCUGAUCAAGAAAAGUGUGGAAAGUUUGAAAGACAACUCAUAGGAGUUUCAAGAGUCAAAAAUUACAAUUAGAAACAACUCAUUUGGCUCUUGAAUCCUCUAUAAAUAGAGGCCUUUGAAGAACAUUUUCACAACUUUGGAAGGUUAGAGAAACUCCACAAAAACAUAGUCUUCACUAGAAUUUCCUUAGUUCAUUAGUUAGGGUAGUAUAGUAUAGUUAGUGUAGCUUUUCCUUCUUGUAUUUAUAGUUAGGUUUGAAUGAAGAUUCAGGAGCAAAGAUAGAGAGGUUGAUCUCAUGUGACAAGGGUGAUAUCUCUUCUACUACUUUCUCUUUUGUAUUUGAUUUCAUAUUUAACUAUACUACAAAUUUGGCUUUGUUUUUUUUUUUUAUCAUGUUUAGUUAAAGUUUAUGCCUAGAGUAUGGAUGACCUUUCUAUAUCUUGUUUGUGAUAUUUAACUGGUUAUUUGAUGAUGUUAUUUUUGAGCAAGUUAUUUAUCACUUUUGCUUUUCUAAUCGUGAUUAACUGGCCAUUAGUUGUGAUUAUCUAAAAGUGUUAAGUUUGUAAUGAGAAUUGGAGUUUAACACUAGUUCAAGGAAGUGAUAAAUUUAGGGAGUUCACUCAUGAGAGUAGAGGAACACCUUUGUGACCUAAGUGACUUGUUUCAUAUAAUUUCAUAGAAAAAAUGAACUUGUAAUUAAUUUCAUAACCACGAGAGUAAGUAUGGUUUAGCUAUAUGUAUAGUUGAUUCACUACGAGAGUAGGUUUCACAUACAUUAGAAAAUUACAUCAUAACUAGUCAAGAUAAUAUCAUUCAUUUAAUCAGUAAUCUCAUUUGCAUGAGUAGUAAGGCAUUCCAUAUCUCUAGGAGGUUUUUAGUAUUAUUUUCAUUACUUUUAUGUUUAUGGUAGUCUAGAUAAUAAUGGAGUUCAAAAACUACUAGUAAUUGAAAAUUUUCCCUGUGGGAUCGACCUUUAAUACCCUAUACUCGCUCUCGACUCGUAUACUUGCGAAAAAUCACGUGUGCGGUAUUUAGAAUUUAUAAAUGUAAAACUUGACUGUAGAUGAACUAAUUGAUAUAUGUAUACCCCGCACUCGUCAGUAACCAGCUUGUAUUGAUCCCAUUAUUGUGGAUAAUUGUGCUCUUAUGAAAAAAAAUUAUAAAAAAAUUAGCAAAAUUUAUGAUAACAAAUUAAAUUUAUUCAUACAAAUCAGUGAAAGAAGUAGAAUUUUAAAGACCAUGAUGAAAUUAAUACUUUCAAGGGCUCUAUUAGGAAGACUUCACUUGUUGGUGAAACUACACUAGCACAGUUAUAUGCACAUUUACUGUUUUGGUAUCUAAUUUCCUUGCCUUAAGUUGGGUGCAGAUGUUUAUAUUACAAAUAGAUGGUAUCAUAAAAUUGUUGUAUUCACGUUUGUUCUUUUUUUUUCUUCCUUAAGUUUUUUUCUUUAUUCUCGUGACUUCAAAAAUACGAACUCAAGAAAUUGGCUGCUUAAUCAAUAUGUCAUACAGGCUUCGCUAGUGAGGUAUAACUUCACAACUAGAGUCAAUAGAAAUUAUCAAAUGAUUUUUUAACAUCCAAAUUAAGCAAUAAAUUUUGUUUUCAUUUUAUGACAUAUAAUAGUACUACUUCAUGAGAGAUUUUAUAGUUUCUUUUAGGUAUCAUACCUACAAGUGAUAUUUGUCAUUGGAUAGUGACAGAAGUGUUAAUGAUUGUAAGAUUAAAUAUUGUUAAAUAUUGAAAUUUAAACUAUUUAUCUUUAUUGAAAGAUACAAGUUAAAGAAUCGUUCAAGGGGGCAAUUUUCCAUCUUGUCUUUUUGAAAAAACGCUAUCACAUUGUAUAGGCAUGAUAGGUUCAAAUUUGUCAUUAAAUUUAUGAUUGAUUUCCCUUUUAUUCAAGCCAAAUAUUGUUUUAAUUAUCAAAUUCUACUUAUAUUUGGUUAAUUGUACUAAUUGUAGGGCGGUAGAGCAAAAGUUGCUAAAAAUAGGUGAUUUUCUGCAAAUUGGUUGUCAAGGCUGAAGGAUUUGGGAUUCGCAUGUUCAAGGCCUGUUUCCAAGUUUGAUUCAAACUCUGGACAGUUUUAGAGGAAGAUUUGGAAGAUUUGAAAUUUCAUUAUUAGUUUUAUGGUUGAAUUAGGAAUCUUGGAAUAAUUUCUUUUGUGAUUUAUUUUUCUAUUUAGGAGACUAGUUGUUAUUUAGUAGUAGACUUCAAUUAGAAAACAAAGAGAAAAAGAAGGCCGGAAUCCCGCUUGAUUAAUACCUUGGCCAGGGAACAAUCUCGGUGGGGAGGACGGCCACUUAGCCUCUCAAUUCAUCUUGCUUUUCGUUAGUUUGAGAGGAAAACCAAUUGCAACUAGAUUCAAUGGAGUCUGGCAGAAUUUCUUCUAGGAUGCGUAGCUAAAUCCUCAAUUUUUAGUCGAAGGUCAAUUUGAAAAUUCGGUUCCAAAUAUCUGUGAAAUCGAAUUAUUUUACUUAUUUCUUUUAUUUAUUGGUAUUCGCACGUUUUCUGAUUUAACUUUUUAUGAUUGUUUUGUUAUUUGAAUGUCAAGGGUCCGAUAUUCGAAUUAACUUAAUAAUCUACUGCCAAAUUAACCGGUUAAAUCCGUAAUUGUUUGAUUGAUUAAUAUCAGUGGCGACUAGCGUGAUUGGUCCCAUGUUAGGAAAACGUCUGAUCUAAUUUAAACAAACCGUCGUAGCGUGUUUGUUGAUUAGGGUUGGACUUUUCUAAUUCUUAAUUCAAUUGAGAAAUUAAAUCUCCCGGUCGUACCUAAGAUUAUUUUUUUGUUAGCGAAAUAGUUAAUGGUCGUACCUUGACUAUCGAAAAAGUAAGGAAGAGUUGAUUGUUUAUCGCGUGUACGACAACUAUAAUCAAUCUAUUAAUGAGUAAUUGAAUUAUCUUUGCAUCAGUAAUCAGUUGAAUGGACCGUGUCUGAAAAGUUGUACCUUUGGCUAGAGUCUUAUCUGUUGUUGAUUCAUUCAUAUCUAUCUUCAUGCGUUGUUUUAAUUUAGUUAAUUAGUUAUUUUUAUAAAAACCCCUCAUCUCUGGACUCUAAAAGAAAUAAAUUAUUUCUAGUUCCUGUGGAUUCGAUCCUACUCACCGCUAUAUACAAAAUUUGUAUUUUUUUGAAUAAAUAAUUAUUAUUACACAGGCUUGACACCUGUCAAGGCAAAAUUUCCUUAACUUCAUCAUCUGUAGACGUAAACUUUCUACGGGUGAUAUAAUAUAAGGAAAUUUUGCCUAUACGAUGUGAUAGCAUUUUUUCAAAAAAGACAAGAUGGAAAAUUGCUCCCUUGAACGGAAAAAAUCAUGAUCUUUCCUCAAACUAGUCUACUAGUCAAUUCUUUACAAAAGAAUACUCGCUCCUAAACAUAGCCUGUUCAUCUACACUGUCCCGCAGAAUUCUAGAAAGUUAGGCAAAACUAGACAAGUUGACAGGUAUAAUCAUACCCAAGAUCAGGAACAAGCAGUUGCACAUUUCAAAAUUCGCUGCUGCAACAGCUAAUUUGAUGACUUACAACACUACACGGUCAAACUUUGAAUGGCAAUGGAUCUUUUGUUGUACGUCAUGAUGUAAUUUUCAUGUUACAUACAUUAAUAGGUUGAUAUCUAUAUUCUUUAAAUUAUCAUGAUAAUACCCUUAAUUAGAUUUAACUGAUAAAAAGAACACGUGUUAAUAUACAAAAGUGUGUAACGUGAAUGUUACAUUACUGUAUUGCAGAAGACCUAUAGUCUCUUCAUAUCUCUUCCUGCACGUAUCAAUUCGUUUCCUCUAGAUAAUAAUCUCCCAACUCGUUUCUUUACAAAUGCACCUUUUAUGUUUUAUUACCUCCAAAAGCCUUUACAGGGUCUUUACCCUAAAAAUCAAUUCACCGACUCGCAUUUGAUGUCAGAAAUUCUUAAGACGAAUUCUACUUUACUCAAAGAUUGACUGUUAAUAAUGAGACAGCGACCAUUUUGUAUUAUUAGACCGUCCUUCUUGAUAGGUAAAAGAAAUAGAGAGGAAAGUGGGUCCGUAUAUGGUCUUUUAUUCAUAGAUAAUACAACAUUACGCCAUCGAGCAUUCACACAAUAUUUCAAAGUCAUAGCAUGCCUAAGGCCCUGUUUGAUAGCUCAAUUUCGUAAUUAAAUUUAAUAGAUUCAAAUUUUAACACAUUUAAAUCAUUUGAUAACAAAAAAUUGAAUAUUUAAAUUAAUUAAGUAACACUGAACUUUCUAAACAAAACUUGCUUUCAAAAUUAAGUGAUAAGUUAUUCACUUAUCUUUGAAUGUGAUAUGCACUCAAAUAUAUUAAAUUUAAUAAUUUAAUGGAUUCAGAUUUCAGAUUUCAGUUUUAUUACACACCCUAAGUUGCAAAAUAAUACCAAAACUUGUUAUUAUAUAGCUUGAGAUUCAAAAAUUUAGAGCAUAAUUCUCAACCUAACACAAUCGAAUAAUGAAUAUUCACGAUUGUUUCAAAGUACAAUUUGAGGACAACCCAUUCCAACGCGUACACGAUUUUUAACUUUUCUAAAGUUGUUGAGAGCUGUUAAAAGAGAUUUACCAUGUUUACAUCUUCCAAGUCUUGGAAGUGAAAAAUGAAGCCACUGAGUGCUAUAAAAAGGGGGCUAGAGGCUGCCUAGAAGCAUAUCAGCCUAAAACAAGAAUUUGUAGUAACAAUGGGGAGCAAAGCAAAAGCAACGGGGUCUAGGCUGACUCCUCUUCUUACCACUGUUUUAGUGGUAUUUGUCGCCCUUGGCUUGCCCUUGGAAACUGCAGCUGAUUAUUACAAGUAUUCAUCUCCUCCUCCUCCUCCUUACCACUAUUCUUCACCACCACCUCCAGUGUAUUCACCUCCACCAACCCCUGCUUAUAAGUUACCCCCACCAUCUCCUCCAGUUUACAAGUCCUCACCACCACCUUACCACUACUCACCACCUCCGGUGUAUUUACCUCCACCAUCUCCAGUUUACAAGUCACCACCACUACCCCCUCCGGUAUACAACUCCCCGCCUCCACCAGUGUACAAAUACAAGUCCCCACCACCACCUCCUCCAGUUUACAAAUCUCCAUCGCCACCAGUUUACAAAUACAAGUCACUCCCACCACCUCCUCCGGUAUACAAGUCUCCUCCGCCACCUGUUUACGAGUACAAGUCUCCUCCACCACCUCCUCCAGUGUACAAGUCCCCACCACCUCCAGUUUACAAGUACAACUCACCUCCACCUCCUCCCCCAGUUUACCUGUCUCCACCUCCACCCUAUCAUCACUACUACGGUUCUCCUUCUCCUCACCACUACUAAGCAAGUGCAUAAGUUUUGAGGUAAUAAUACCUAUCCAAAACUUUAUCAACACAAACUGCCAUGUAUAUUAUCAUGCUAAGGACGUACACUUGAUCCAUGAAAAUGACUAGUAGAAGAUUUUUUUUAAGAACCAAAGAAAUACAUUAUUUUUUCGGUCUGUUUUCAAGAAUUUGAGCAGUAUACAGAUUAAAGAGUGUUUUUUUUUUUGUAAACUUGCUUGUCAACUUAAAAAUGCACAUAGCUGAAAGCCAACUGAAUAUUUGCAGGCAAAGGAGAAGGCAAUCGGUGUUUGAGACCUUCAAGAAGAUGUAGAAGAAUAAGAAUAAAAGCCCAAUGCGAGGAUGAUUCCAAGUUUCUACGUUACCAUUUCUACAUCUAAAUUGACUUUAGCUCCUGAGUUCCAUGUUUAUGGGGUUUGUACCGUUUUACGUACCAUGCAGUACAUGCUUGCAAGGUUUUCUGUCCUGUUGGCAAACUGCAGGUCCAUAUAAUAAAUGAAUACUAUUUACAUUACGACACUUUUCUCUUUUUCUCUUAUAUUUUGUCUUUAAUAUUGUUGAUCAUUUUUUUUUUAUCAAAAGCAUCAAAUGCUUAGGUAAUUUGGUCUAAUGCUAAUUGUUUUACUUUUAUUUUUCACCUACACCCCUUUUCAACUCAAAGGAUGCUAUAGUUUGUGAUAAUUGUUUAAGACCGAAGCAUGAUACUAAUAAAUAUCUCAUUGAAAGUCAAGGAAACUAACAUUAGGAAAAGUUUAAAUCUUGAUUUGAUGAAACUAUUUAUUCGUGGAAUUUAGAGAUACAAAACUCAAAUUGUGACGGUGUUGUUGCUAAAUUAUUAAGGACAUUAUCACCAUUAUUUUUCCCUGAUCACUAGUUUCAACUGCAAUGAUCUCAAUCUUUUUGUGACUAAUUCUUUCCUUAAUAAUUUAUAAAGACAAAACUCACAAAGAAUAUGUGACUAAUUCUUUCCUUUCGUCUUCUAAAGAAAAUGCCAACUGUUAGUUUAUCAAGGGGAAAAAGGAUCGACAUCAGUUAUUAUUGAAACUAGUAAGGAAUAAAUAAUGGUGAUAAUGUCCUUAAUAAUUUAACAACAGCACCAUCAGAAUUUGACUUUGAGCUUCGGUCUUAAACAAUGAUCACAAACUACAGCAUCCUUUGAGUUGAAAAAGGAAGUAGGUGAAAAGAAAAGUAAAAAAUACAAUUAGCAUUCCCUCAAAUUGUAGAAAGUUAGGUAGCAUUAUAGACAAGUUGAUAGCGGCAAUUUUACAUUUCAAACUUCACCUAUUCAAUAACUAAUUCGAUGGCUUGCUACAUGGUCAAUCUUUGGACCCCUUCCUGCCUCCAGAUAUCCCUUUCCUCAAUCAGGGGCUUCUACAAUUACCAGUUUCAAUUGUAUGGUAUAGUGUAAAUAUCAACAAAUUAGAUGUAGAUGCUAACAUAAUAAAUGUGAAUGCUAAGACAGCAACAUACAAUCGAACCUGCAAUUGUAUGAACCCCAAUCUCGCUUCCUAGUCCACCAUCUUUCUCUAGGUAAUAAUCUCCCUUCUAAUUUAUUCACAAAAUGCACCUUUCAUCACCUCCAAUAGCGUCGACAUGAUCUUUACCCUAGAAGACUAUUCACCGACUCUCAAUUGACGUCAGAAAAUCUAAGAGUAAUUCUACUUUACCCUAAGAUUGAUAUCAACAAGACAAGGACAAUUUAGAAUUAUUACACGCCUCUUCUUAAUAGGAAAAAGAAAUAGAGAAGAAAGUCAGGCCAGGUCUAAUUUCUUUUCAAAGGCAAUACAACAUUACGAAAUCAAGCAUUCAUUCAUACAAAUAUUUCAUAGUCACCGGUUUGCUGAGUAGAAAAAUUUAGACAAAAACUUAAUAUUAUAUUGUUUAAGAGUUAACAAUUUAGAGCUUAAUCUCCUUGUACUUUGGAGUUAACAAUUUAGAGCUUAAUCUCCUUGUACUUUGGACUAAACUUGAACGUGAAAGGAAAUCCCAAAACCAUAUUGGGCAUGAAUUCACACUUAAUAUACCCAAUAAAAGAUGGCGACUGGUGAAAGGCAGUGGAGACUGGUGGAGAGAUUUGAGGAAUAGAAGCAGACGGAAAAGCAACAAAUUUUUGCCGAAAAACGGUCACUUUCAUGGUUAAUUUUGCUACUCUCCAAUUGUACUUGACCAAUUACAACAAUUUCAUGGAGUUUGAUACGUGAAAAGAAUUUUUUAUAAAUUUUAUUUUGAUCCAUAAUGUUAUCUUUACAUAUAUAAAACAUUUUACAAUUUUGAUUUUGGCGCAGCUAACUUUUGGUUAACAAAAAUGCUCAUGUUUAAAAAACCAGAAAUAAAACAAAACAAGAAACAAAAGAAAUAAGAGGGUAGCAUAGACAUUUUGGAUUUUUCCGUUAAUUUGGAUGAUUUCCACCCACGUUCUAAUUUAAUCCAAAACACAAAGGAAUUACGUAGAGGUUUUAAAUAAUGAGGGAGCUUCAUGAUCGAACCCCAAACCACAAGGCGAUUUACUAUAUUUUACUCUUAAAUUUUGGUUUCAUCUCAUAGCAUACAAGAGUUCUAUUUCACUAUCUGUAGACAAAGACUUUCUAUGGUUGAUGUACCAUAGGAAAAAAUCUGCCUAUACAACGUGAUAGCAUUUUUUCAAAAACACAAGAUGGAAAAUUGCCCCUUAAACGGGGAAAUUCAUGAUCUUUCGUCGAACAAAGAAUACUCACGCCUAUUCAAGAUGGAAAAUUGCCCCCUUAAACGUCUAUUUGUCAAUUCUUGAAAAAAGAAUACUCACGCCUAAAACACGGCCUCUUCAUCUGCAGAAUUCUAAAAAGUUAGGUAAACUCUAUAAACAAGUUGAUAGGUACAAUCGUACCCAAGAUCAAGUACAGAUAGUUGUACAUUAACUGCUGCAAUAACUAAUCUGAUGACUUAUAAACAUAUCAUGGUCAAUCGUUGAAUGGUAAUGAGUCUUUUGUUAUGCAUUAGUAUUAGUGUGUACACUCUAAUAGAUUGAUACUUAUACUCUUUAAAUUAUCAUAAUAAUACCCUUAAUUAACUUUAACUCUUAAAAAGAAUACAUGUUAAUACACGAGUGUGUGUAACCUGAAUUGUUACUUAUAAAUUAGUGUGUAAUAGAUAGGGAUGGCAAUGGGGGCGGGUGCCCGCGGGGGGCUCUCGGGGCGGGGGUUGGGGCGGGGGGGAAUUUUUUCCCCCCGUUUAGAAAUGGGGCAGGGGACGGGGGAGUAUACCCCCGCCCCAUCCCCCGCAAAAAAAAAAUUAUAUAUAAUAUGUAAUUUAAUUAGUUAUAAACUUAUGAUAAUGAUAUUAUUAGUUAGAUGUAUUAUAUAAUGUAUAUUAGUGUAUGUAAUAUAAUUAAUAUUAUCAAUUAUAUGAAUAAUUAGACAUGUCUACUAAUAGAAUUUAUGAAUUAGUUAUACUAAAUUUACUAAUACAUUUAUACUAAAUUUCUAAUUACACUUAAUAGAAUAACACUUUUUUCUAAAACAAAAAAGCACAAACACAAUAAUGAAUUAGUGAUUGUAUGAUAGGGUGUAAUUUUACUAUUUAUUUUAUUAUUAAUUUCCCCUAUCACCUGACCUGAUGUGGAUUAAUUGCUGGAUUCUGCUCACUUUUAGUACUUUGUAUUUAUUUCAGGGAGUAGAACGGAAAUUUGAUAACAGGUGCUAAUUUGGCAGAAAAAGAGUCCAGAUGAUAGAGCUUGCCCCAAGGGCAUUUUUGGAAAGGAGAACUUGUGCCCAUCUUGGUAAUUUGGGAGAAAAGGGAAACAGACAAAAUGGGUCUAACAUGGAUUGGAAGCGGCCGCACAGUAGCAGGGAAGAGGGCAGACGUAAAAGCAAUUGCAGGGGGGAAAAGGAGUUUUUUUAGUUUUUAGCUUAGCAUCUGAUUUUCCCUGGGAGACUUUUGUUAAAGAUUUCCUUUUGGCUGAUAUUACGCAUGGCAGAUGGCUUUUAACUUAUUCCUCCAUCUUUGACUUUUCUUCUUUAGCUUGUGGCAGUGGAUUGCUACUUACGAAUGUCAGCACUUAGCCAUUCGUGGCUUUUGAUCUUUUCUUCCUUAGAAAUUCUGAGUAACCUCUUUUCCUUUGUGCGCCAGACGAAGUGAAAACUAUAAACUUUUGUAGUUUUUCUAUUCAUUCAAUAUAUUGAGACGAGUUGGAUUCUACCAAAUUUCAACGGACAUGGCCGCUGGUUUCUCUUCAAUUUUAUAUGGGCUUUGUUCAUCCAACAUGAACUAAUUUCACCACUCUAGUCAAGGAGCAACGAAGGCUCUGAUUUGCCUAAAAAUUGUGAGAUCGUUUUAAUUUAAUCUUUUCCUUUUAUUUAUUGGUAUCCGCACAUUUCUUGAUUGCUAUGCUUAUGGUUAUUUAAUUAAUUGAUUGUCUUGGAUCCAGAUAAUUAAUUGAUCUGAUAGCCUAUUGUCAAUUAGGGCAUUUAAAUCCGUAAUUGUUUAAUUGUCCUGAAAUAGUGACAACUGGCACGAUUAGAUUCGUGCCAGGGGGGAUAUGCGGGCUAAUCUAAAAUAACCCUGGUAGUGUGUUAUUUGGUUAGAAUAGGGCUCCUCUAAUACUAAGGCAAUUGGGGAAUUAAAUUCUACGGGCGUACCUAGGAUUAUUUCUUAAUUAGAGCAGUGAUUAACGGGCGUACCUUGAUCACCGACACAGUAAGGAGGGGUUGACCGUCAUCGCUUGUUUGGCAGUUAUAACCUAUUUAUCAGUAAAUAAUUGGGAUUGCCUUGCAUCAAUGAUCAAUUAGGUGAACCAUUGUUGAAGUUACUUCUUGGUUAGAUCUUUAGUUAAUAUUACCUUGAUUUUGGUGAAUUGCCAUUUGAUUUUUAGUUGCCUACUUUAUUUUAUUUUUAAUUGUUUCCUUGCUUUAAUUGAGUUAGGCCUUUAAUUAUUGUUAUUCUAAGUUUAGUGAAUUGUGGUUUAAUUCCUAAUUAGUUAUUUAUUUUUACUUUCUUAUUUGAAUUUAUUUGCUUGUUAUCAUUCCUACGAAAUCACCCCCCUGUGUUACUUUGGAUUUCUUAAGAAACAAAUAUACCCAAUCCCUGUGGAUACGACCCUACUUGCUCUGUUCACGAAUUCAUAAUUAUUUGUGAAAAGAAAUAACCAUUCCACUCGGGUAUAUCGGAUCAAGCAAAUUCUUCGGGAACAGGGUGAAUCAAGUAACCCAAUGCACACCUAGAGUCCCUGCUCCAGUACUUGGAAUUGGGUUUUGGUCAUUUUAACUGGCAAUUAGGUUUAAUUUUAUUAUUGCACAGGCUGACGACCCUGUCAAUUUUUGGCGCCGUUGCCGGGGACUGGCGUUAUUAUUUGUUUCUUUUUAAAUUCAUUCUUUGUCCUAAUUUUCUGGUUUUCUUCUAGUGUAUGCCUCGAUCUUCUCGUACAGGUAAUUUGAUUUUUGACCCUGAGGUAGAGAAGACCGCAUGUAGAACGAGAAAGGAAACCAGACAGCUCAGAGAAGAGCACUCCAGUGCUACAUCUCAGAGACCCGAGUCAGAAGUUGAACUAACAGAUUCGUUUGGUAACACUUCGAGUGACUCUGACCAGGAGGAAGACACCAUGGCUAAUGCACGAACAUUAAGGGAGUUGGCUGCUCCUGAUUUAACUCAGCAGCCUUUAUGCAUUACUUUCCCCACUUUAAAUGAUAACAUUCCAUUUGAACUAAAAUCUGGUCUGAUUCAGCUUUUACCCUCUUUUCAUGGUUUACCAGGUGAAGAGCCGUAUAAGCAUCUGCAGGAGUUUGAUGUCGUGUGUAAUAGUAUGAAACCCUCGGGAAUCACAGAAGAGCAGAUAAAAAUGAGGGCAUUCCUCUUCUCCUUGAAAGAUUCUGCGAAGGACUGGCUGUACUACCUGUCACCAGGUAGCAUCACCACGUGGGACCAAUUGAAGAAAAAAUUUUUGGAUAAAUAUUUUCCUGCGUCCAGGGCUGCAAGUCUAAGGAAAGAAAUUUGUGGGAUCAAGCAGCAUCCAGGGAAGUCACUUUAUGAGUAUUGGGAACGGUAUAAGAACUUGUUGCGCAGGUGCCCCCAACACCAAAUAAGUGAGCAAUUGAUCAUACAGUAUUUUUAUGAGGGGCUCCUUUUUAGAGACAGGAGCAUCAUUGAUGCCAGGGGGGAGGGUUGGGAUGGGUGGUACGGGGGGAGGGAGUGUAAGCAAGAGGUCUCGGGUUCGAGUCCUCCCGCUUACACACAAAAAAAAAGAUGCUGCAAGUGGAGGGGCACUGGUAAACAAAACCCCUCAGGAAGCACGGGAGUUAAUAGAGGGGAUGGCAGAGAAUUCACAACAAUUCAGUACAAGAGAGGAUGUCCCAAUACGUAAGGUGAAUGAGGUAGAGACACCCUCUAUGCAGCAGCAGCUAACUGAGUUGACCGCGUUUGUUAGGCAACUGGCUGUGAGAAAUGCAUCACAAGCCAGGGUGUGCGGGAUUUGCACUGGUAUGGGUCAUUCUGCAGACAUGUGCCCAAUGAUUCAGGAAGAAACUGCAGAACAGGUGAACAUGGCUGACCACGCGCCCGCGCCAAGGAAGCAGUACGACCCUUACUCAAGCACCUACAACCCCGGGUGGAGAGAUCAUCCCAACCUCAGUUAUGGAGAAAAUAGGCAGCCCAACAUUACACCGAACAGGCAGUCUAACUUUGUGCCAAAUAGGCCACCAGGGUACCAGCAGCAAUAUCAACCCCGACCACCUCCGUCCCCAAGCUCUGGCCCAUCUUUGGAGGAGAUGAUGAAACAAAUGAUGACAACUAUGGCUCAAAAUCAGCAAAUGACGGAGGCAACCAUUAUGCAAAAUCAGCAAAGGACGGACUCCGAAAUGAAGGAUAUAAGGAAUCAGAUAAGUCAAAUGGUCACAACAAUCAACCGUUUGGAUUCCCAGAACCAAGGUAAAUUGCCAUUUCAGCCCGAAUUAAAUUCGAAGAACGUGAGCGCAAUGACCCUAAGGAGCGGGAAAGAAAUUCAGGGGUCUGAACCUGUGAUCCCUAAGGAUAAGGAUGAGGAAAAGAUCGAAAAUGAGCUUGAAAGGGAGGACAGCAAUGGUGCAGAUCUAAAGGUACUUCCUGACCCAAUAAUUACAGCUAAAACUAACCCGCCUCCUUUUCCUAGCAGGUUGGAAAAAUCGAAAAAAGAGGAUAAGGAGAAGGAGAUCUUGGAGGUUUUUCGCAAGGUUGAGAUAAAUAUCCCCCUCUUAGACGCAAUCAGACAAGUACCAAAAUAUGCCAAGUUCCUAAGGGACUUGUGUGUCAACCGAAGGCAGUUGAGGGAAGAUGAACGGGUUAUUGUUGGGGAGAAUGUGUCAGCAGUCCUGCAGAGAAAGCUCCCACCAAAGUGCGGGGACCCAGGUAUGUUUACUAUUCCCUGUAGGAUAGGUAAUACUGUGAUAGAAGGGCCAUGUUGGAUCUGGGAGCAUCAAUUAAUCUCAUACCUAAAUCUAUCUAUGCUUCUCUAAAAUUAGGUCCAUUAAAAGAAACUGGAAUAAUCAUUCAAUUAGUUGACCGAACUAAUGCAUAUCCUGAUGGGUUGGUUGAAGAUGUGUUGGUAAAAGUUAAUGAUUUGAUGUUUCCAGCUGAUUUUUAUGUACUUGAUAUGGAUGAUGAUCACUCCCCUGAUCCCUCACCUCUGUUAUUGGGUAGACCCUUUAUGAGCACAGCACAGACGAAAAUUGAUGUUAAUAAGGGUAUCUUGUUCAUGGAGUUUGAUGGGAAAAUUGUGCAUUUCAAUAUCUUUGAUACUAUGAAAUAUCCCUCAAACUCCAACUUUAGCACAGUUUUCUCUGUGAGUGCUAUUGACCCUGUAGUGCAGGAAGUGUUUGAAACUGAUGGCAGGGAUGAGUUGGAGGUGGCUUUGACCAAGCACCUCGAGUUGGAGACAACUCCUGAGGUGGAAUGGAGCGAGGACCUAAAAUGCACAAUAGGUGCAUUACACUCAUUGCAGUCCACCACGAAAAGGUAUGAAGUCUUACCUAUUUUUACUCCCGAACCUCACCAGAGGGUGUUGCCAUCUGUGGUGCAGGCACCUGUACUAGAAUUUAAACCUCUAUCAGAGCACCUGAAAUAUGCAUAUCUGGGUGAUAAUGAGACACUCCCGGUGAUUAUCUCAUCGACACUGUCAAAAAUCCAGGAGGAGAAACUGAUCCGGGUCCUUAGAGAGCAUAAAGAGGCGAUAGGUUGGACAAUCGCAGAUAUUAAGGGGAUCAGCUCGGCCAUCUGUAUGCACCGGAUUAGACUAGAAGAGGAUGCCAAACCUGUUAGGCAGGCUCAAAGGAGGCUCAACCCCCUAAUGAUGGAAGUUGUAAAGAAAGAAAUUUUAAAAUUGCUAGAUGUGGGGAUUAUUUUUGCAAUAUCAGAUAGCCCUUGGGUAAGCCCGAUCCAGGUAGUCCCAAAGAAGGCAGGGGUGACGGUGGAGGCAAACCAAACGGGUGAGCUCGUGCCAGUGCGCAAACCCACUGGAUGGAGGCAGUGUAUAGACUACCGUAGGCUAAACGCCGUCACCAAAAAGGACCAUUUCCCUCUCCCUUUCAUUGACCAAAUGGUUGAACGUUUAGCUUGUAGAGCUUAUUAUUGCUUUUUGGAUGGAUUUUCAGGAUACUUUCAGAUAGCAAUUGCUCCAGAGGAUCAAGAGAAGACAACCUUCACGUGCCCGUUCGGGACCUUUGCUUAUAGACGAAUGCCAUUUGCGUUGUGCAAUGCACCUGCAACAUUCCAGAGGUGUAUGGUAAGUAUUUUUUCUGAAUAUGUGGAGAAAAUUAUUGAAGUUUUCAUGGACGAUUUCAGUGUGUAUGGUGAUAGUUUUGAUACGUGUUUAGAUAAUCUGAAAUUGAUCCUGAUAAGGUGUAUAGAGACUAAUCUUGUGCUUAAUUGGGAAAAAUGUCAUUUUAUGGUUGAGCACGGGAUAGUCCUGGGUCAUAUUGUAUCGUCUAAGGGCAUAGAAGUUGACAAGGCUAAAAUAGAUAUUAUUUUUGCAUUACCUUACCUCGCGAGUGUGCGGAAGGUGCGUUCUUUUCUUGGACAUGCAGGUUUUUAUCGAAUGUUCAUCAAGGAUUUUUCAAAAAUUGGAGCCCCGUUAUUCCAACUCCUACAAAAGGAUGUGACCUUCGAAUUCGAUGAUAAGUGUGAGGAAGCCUUCAACAAGUUGAAAGAAUUGUUGACCUCACCCCCAAUUAUCCAGCCCCCUGAUUGGAGUCUACCAUUUGAGAUCAUGUGCGAUGCCAGUGAUCAUGCCGUAGGGGCUGUAUUGGGGCAAAGAGUAGGGAAGGCAGCUCACGUCAUCUACUAUGCAUCCCGAGCAUUGAAUGGAGCCCAAUUGAAUUACUCCACUACUGAAAAGAAGCUUCUUGCAGUUAUUUUUGCUUUAGAAAAAUUCAGGUCAUAUUUGCUAGGUGCUAAAGUAAUUGUAUUUUCUGACCAUGCAGCAUUAAGGUACCUAAUGACCAAGAAAGAUGCCAAACUGAGGCUCAUUAGGUGGAUAUUGCUACUGCAGGAAUUUGACCUGGAGAUACGGGAUAAAAGGGGCUCAGAGAAUUUAGUAGCUGACCAUCUGAGUCGUAUACCCGUUGGAGAGGAUAAUGAACCAUUGAGGGAUGCGUUCCCUGAAGAGCACUUAUUUUCUUUAAAUUCUCAGUUGCCUUUGUAUGCCGAUCUGGUCAAUUAUUUGGUAACUGGUAAUUUUCCUGCAGGUUGACCAAAAUCGAAGAGGGAUAAAUUGAAGAGCGACGCCAAGUAUUUUAUUUGGGACGACCCGUACCUAUGGAAGAGGUGUGCAGAUCAAGUGAUGCGGAGAUGUGUAAGUGAAAUGGAAUUUCAAUCGAUUUUAGCUUUUUGUCAUACUUUUGCCUGUGGAGGUCAUUUGGACCCAAGAGAACUGCUCAUAAGGUUUUAGAAAGUGGAUUUUAUUGGCCUUCAUUGUUUAAGGAUGCCUAUGUGUUUUGUAAGUCAUGUGAUCGCUGUCAAAGGGUAGGUAAUAUACCCCGUAGAGAUCAAAUGCCCCAAGUCCCGUUGAUUUUUAUUGAAAUUUUUGAUGUCUGGGGUAUAGAUUUCAUGGGGUCUUUUCCUACUUCAUUUGGUUUUUUAUAUAUUUUGCUGGCAGUUGAUUAUGUGUCUAAAUGGGUGGAGGCUAAGGCCACUCGAACUAAUGACUCGAAAGUAGUUGCAAAUUUUGUCAGGUCUAAUAUUUUUGUGCGAUUUGGAAUGCCUAGUGCUAUUGUCAGUGAUAGGGGAACGCACUUUUGCAACAAAAUCAUAGCUGCGUUGUUUCGCAAGUAUGGUGUACUCCAAUGGGUCUCAACGUCGUACCACCCUCAGACCAAUGGUCAAGCGGAGGUGUCGAAUCGAGAGAUCAAGUCUAUCUUGGAGAAAAUGGUGCGCCCCGAUAGGAAAGACUCGAGUCAAAGGCUGGAGGACGCACUUUGGGCCUAUCGGACGGCGUACAAGACUCCUAUAGGGAUGUCACCGUACAGGUUGGUAUUUGGGAAGCCGUGUCACCUUCCAGUGGAGUUUGAGCACAAAGCUUUUUGGGCGAUAAAGUAAUGCAACAUGAAUUUAGAGGAAGCCGGUGCCCAACGAAAGUUGGAUUUGCAAGAAUUAGAAGAGAUCCGGAACGAGGCUUACGAAAAUGCACUAAUUUAUAAGGAGAGAAGCCGGAUAUUUCAUGAUCAACAAAUUUCAAGAAAAUCCUUUGAAGUUGGUCAGAAGGUCCUACUAUACCAAUCCAGGCUCAAGCUAUUCCCAGGUAAACUACGUUCCCGUUGGAUUGGACCUUUUCUUGUUACUCAUGUUUUUCCAUAUGGUGCAGUUGAAAUCCGGAGCGCUAAAACAGACAACAAAUUUGUGGUGAAUGGACACCGUCUCAAGCAUUACUACGAAGGAUUUUCAGGUGAAAAGGUGGAGACAAUAAGUCUAGACGCGCCACCGUGUCCUAAUCAGUGACAUUUUACUAUGUCUAGCCAAAGACAUUAAAGACAGGCGCUCAUUGGGAGGCAACCCAAUUGUCCCUUUUAAUUAUUUGUUUGAUUUCGUGUGAUAGUUUAAAUAUGUUUUCCUUGAAUUCGACUGAUUUUGGGUUUCAGUUUUCGUUUUUGCUGAAUUGUAGGUGACCUUCAGUCUUGACGCGCCCGCGUGAUGACAUGCAGGAAGCUCACGAUCAGAAUCGUCUGAAAGCUCUCUUGCCCUUUUGACGCACCCGCGUGAUGACGUGCAGGAAGCUCACGAUCAGAAUCGUCUGAAAGCUCUCUUGCCCUCUUGACGUGCCCGCGUCACGUUCGCAGGAAAGGUACGGGUUUCAAAAAUUUAAAGAAAAAAUAAUAAUAAUAAUAAUUUAAAAUUUUGAAAUUAACUUCCGUAAAAAAAAAAAAGAAGAAAAAAAAUUUCACCGUGGCUUAAAUAGAGCCUAAAGAAGAGAAAAAAGAAACAAUUUCUUUCUUUUUUUUUUCUUUUUCUUCUUUCUUCCUUCUUUCUUUCUUUCUUCUUUCUCUUUUCCCUCUCUCUUCUCCCCUGUUUCUUCUCCCCUGUCCGUCGCCCGUGCGCCCCAUCGCUGCUCCACCUCCACACGCACGCCGACGCUGCGAGCCACCUGCGACCCCAGCGCCAGAUCUGGACCAUCGCCGAAACCCGCAGCCUCCGCCACCUCCACCUGAGCUCUGCCUCGCGCGCAACCCAGCUGCUCUGCGCCCGAAGCUCCACCGCCGCCACAGCCUCCCCACGCAGCUCCCUGCUCACGCGGCCACAAGCCCAUUGGAAACGGGACAGAGACUGCCGCCGAGCCACUUGCCCGCGUGACCGCCGCUGUUUUCCACCACCUCCCUCACGCGAGCUCUUUCCCUCUCAGCAGCAAUCCACUUCACAGCGCACCCGCUGCGCGCCGUCGCAGCCCUCGCAGCUCCAGCCCGUCUGGUCUAGUCCGCCGCGCGCACCAACCACCCACGGACGCUACCCCCAUCGCUAACCCACGCGGCCUCCACUCCAGUCUGUCCGCCGCCGCUGCUCGUGUCUCCCUUGCGCACCUCACGCCACCCGCUACUGUCCCCUUCCGUUUGGUUAGCAUCCACGGUGGAGGUAAUUGGAGGUUAUUUUCUCAAUUGUGUGACUUCCGCCUGUGAUACUGGUUGCAUUAUUUUUGCUGGGAAUUGCUACUUCUUUUGGGUUGGGUUCAACUGUGCAAUUAAUUGGCCAACUGGAGCCAUUUGUUGGGAUUUUGGGUGAGCUGAAAUACUGCAUUUGUGUGUUACAUUGGGAGGUUUAUUGGGUACAUUCUAACCGCUGUUUUCCAUUGUUACUCUCGCUGGGGUGUCUAUUAAAUUGCGAUUGAAGUAUUUUGGAUAUUGCAUGUUGAGAUUGAGGUUUCAUUGAAUUUGGCCUACGUUCUGCCCCCAGUGGUACUGGUGGGAAUAUUUUCAAUUGAAUUUGUUACCUCUAGUUGGUUGGCUACAUUAUUAUGGUCGAAUUCCUAAGUUGUCGUCAUUGCAUUUGUUGAUCUUGAUUUGGGGCAUUAACCGGCCAACUGGAGCCAUCUGUGCGUUUUUAGGCGCUAUUAUUGGUUUCUUCUCCCUUAACUUUGUCAACUAUAUUUGGUUGGGUAUUUGGUUGACUGCCACGGACUUGUAACUGUGUUUUGCUUCUAAUUGACCAGUUGCACAGCAGUUUUUUUUUAAUUGAUAGGGUGGUUAUACCUCUGGAUAUUUGUAUCCACUGGUUUGAGGACAUGGUGAGACCAAAAUCCUCCUCUAGGUCUAGGACCCCUAGAACCUCGCAAUCCCAACCCCAAGCCUCUACUCUAGUCAAUACCCCUAUAAAUCAACCUACUGCUCCCGGUGUCCGAACCUGGUUAGGUAGGGGUAGAGGUGCCCACGUGGCUUCCGCCACUCACUUGGGAGGGCAUUUGGAAUUCACUAGAGCCGCCGAUCAGCGACGCUAUGCUCAAGCUUGUGAGCGGCGUAUCAUUCCGUGCAAAUGCGCGGACCACAUUACUAUGGUUUUUCUGGGGAUCCAAGGGGAGGUUGAGCGCAUGUACACCGCCAUUGGAUGGCGCCCCUAUCUGGAUAUUUUCCAGCCAGCCUUUGUCGAGUUGACUAGAGAGUUUUACACCACUUUUAAGUUUGAAUUACCGACUAGGUAUACUGUUGCGACUCCCGAUAUCAUUCACUUCCGUCUCAUGGGCCAGGAAUUCAAUUUCUCUAUCACCCAGUUCAAUCUGGCUUUCGGUUUCAUCACUCGGGAGUAUGCAGAGACUAGGGAAUACGGUGAGAGUGCCUGCGAUUUUGUGGAACCUUUCCUUACCGCCUACCGUGAGGUGUGGGAGGACAUGUCUGUGGACAUGCAGCGUUACGAUCCCUCUCGGUCUCGGAGCUCCUUUCUAGAGGACCCGAGUGCUCGGUAUGUUCAGCGGCUUUUAGCAUAUAGCUACUCGGGCAGAAAGAACAGCUUCGGUAUUAUCUCUCGGCCGGAGCUCUUCUUCCUUUGGUGUAUGAAGAAUGGGUUCAAGGUCAAUUUGGGUUGUUGGUUGGCGGCACAGUUCAAGACCGUCAUGGCAAAGAAGAACAAGCCGUUGAUUCUUGGGUCGUAUAUCACGUACUUGGCGGUCCAGCUAGGCGUUCUGAAUCUACAGGAUCACGAUUUGCACUUGGCCUGCGACAUGGAGUAUCUCACUGCUGACCGGCUAGAGAAGAUGGGGGUUCUGGAGCUUGUCGAUGGCCACUACCGAUUUGUGCCCCCGGGACCGCCCCGCGCCCCGCCUCGCUCUUCCUCCACCCAUUCGGCCCCAGUUGGCGGUGAUCCUGGCCCGUCGACAUCCGCUCAGCUCCCUCCACCAGCAGGGGCUGAAGAUUGGCACCAAAUCAGGACGCAGAUUCAGAAUUUGGACGCCCGGAUGAUUAGCAUCGAGAGCAACGUGGCGGCUAUAUCACAGAAUCUGGCGGCAUUCCUGCAGCACUCGGGUUUCCCGCCCCCAAUCCCACCUCACCCUCCACUAUGACCCGGUUUCAGGGAAGUUUGGUUACUUUCUCCCUCACUUUUGUUGUUUUUUGACACAUUGAGGACAAUGUGUCCUAUAGGUGUGGGGGGGUCUAUAGUCUUUCUAGUUUUUAGUAGUUGUUAGUUUUUAGUUUUUUAGUAGUUUUAGUUUUAUUUCUAGUUGCGUAUUUUCUUUCUUUUCUUAGUGCUUAUUCCCCAUGUGAAAAGAAAAAGAAAACAAAAAAAAAGAGAAAAAAAUGUUGGUUUAUUGACUCUAACUCUACUUUUGCCAAGUUUUUUUUAAAUAAAAAUGUAUCGGGUUAAUGUGGUUGGAUCCAGAAUAUCUCCCUGGUGAAUAUCGGAUUGCUUGGCUCUUUUGAUUUCUGUGUUAAUUUCUCUAGGCAUAGGGAAUGACUGUUGGCAUUUUAAUGUGAACUGGUCCAAUAUUGACUCCAGUUCUCUAUGUUUGGCAAUAAUGAGGCGAGCUGUUCCUAUUUUUGGUUCUUAGUGUUGUUAUUAUGUGUUUUUGGCUUUGUUUGGCUGUGAAUAAUCUGGACUGUACUCCGCUAUGAGUUACUACUGAGUAACCGAGGAUCGGCACCUAAAAGUGUCGAUUCUCGCGUCAAAAGGUGGUACUUUAUAUGAGUACGUGGUCGUAUAGCAGUAGGAGCUGAGUAACCGGGCUCCUUCAUCUAAAAAUGUUGGAGUUCGCGUCAAAAGGCCCCGACGGCUAACGACUAAGUCUUUUUGUGUUAAUUAUUAUUGCUUUGAAAAACAAAAAAAAAAAAGAACGAAAAAAGAGAGAAUAAAUAAUAGGAAGGCUUGCCGGUUUAUGGACUUAAUAUGGAGACUUGUGUGAAUAUUUGGACCAUUAGCUAAUAAAUGUUGUGCGCCAUUCCCUUUUCUUAGAGUAGUUAACCUGGAAAUUGAAGGAAUUUGCAGUUUAGGGGCUAACCGGGGGGGAGGCUUCUUGGAUUUUAAUCACCAAUGCUCGAUAUAUGUUUUUCUCUUGAAGAUCUUGGCAAUAUAGGAGAUUGGACAAUGGCCAUCAUCGAAUUUUGGUGUUCGUUUACUAUUCUUAUGCUUGAGGACAAGCAUGGUUUAGGUGUAGGGGGAAUUGAUAGGGUGUAAUUUUACUAUUUAUUUUAUUAUUAAUUUCUCCUAUCACCUGACCUGAUGUGGAUUAAUUGCUGGAUUCUGCUCACUUUUAGUACUUUGUAUUUAUUUCAGGGAGUAGAACGGAAAUUUGAUAACAGGUGCUAAUUUGGCAGAAAAAAGUCCAGAUGAUAGAGCUUGCCCCAAGGGCAUUUUUGGAAAGGAGAACUUGUGCCCAUCUUGGUAAUUUGGGAGAAAAGGGAAACAGACAAAAUGGGUCUAACAUGGAUUGGAAGCGGCCGCACAGUAGCAGGGAAGAGGGCAGACGUAAAAGCAAUUGCAGGGGGGAAAAGGAGUUUUUUUAGUUUUUAGCUUAGCAUCUGAUUUUCCCUGGGAGACUUUUGUUAAAGAUUUCCUUUUGGCUGAUAUUACGCAUGGCAGAUGGCUUUUAACUUAUUCCUCCAUCUUUGACUUUUCUUCUUUAGCUUGUAGUAGUGGAUUGCUACUUACGAAUGUCAGCACUUAGCCAUUCGUGGCUUUUGAUCUUUUCUUCCUUAGAAAUUCUGAGUAGCCUCUUUUCCUUUGUGCGCCAGACGAAGUGAAAACUAUAAACUUUUGUAGUGUUUCUAUUCAUUCAAUAUAUUGAGACGAGUUGGAUUCUACCAAAUUUCAAUGGACAUGGCCGCUGGUUUCUCUUCAAUUUUAUAUGGGCUUUGUUCAUCGAACAUGAACUAAUUUCACCACUCUAGUCAAGGAACAACGAAGACUCUGGUUCGCCUAAAAAUUGUGAGAUCGUUUUAAUUUAAUCUUUUCCUUUUAUUUAUUGGUAUCCGCACAUUUCUUGAUUGCUAUGCUUAUGGUUAUUUAAUUAAUUGAUUGUCUUGGAUCCAGAUAAUUAAUUGAUCUGAUAGCCUAUUGUCAAUUAGGGCAUUUAAAUCCGUAAUUGUUUAAUUGUCCUGAAAUAGUGACAACUGGCACGAUUAGAUUCGUGCCAGGGGGGAUAUGCGGGCUAAUCUAAAAUAACCCUGGUAGUGUGUUAUUUGGUUAGAAUAGGGCUCCUCUAAUAUGUAAGGCAAUUGGGGAAUUAAAUUCUACGGGCGUACCUAGAAUUAUUUCUUAAUUAGAGUAGUGAUUAACGGGCGUACCUUGAUCACCGACACAGUAAGGAGGGGUUGACUGCCAUCGCUUGUUUGGCAGUUAUAACAUAUUUAUCAGUAAAUAAUUGGGAUUGCCUUGCAUCAAUGAUCAAUUAGAUGAACUAUUGCUGAAGUUACUUCUUGGCUAGAUCUUUAGUUAAUAUUACCUUGAUUUUGGUGAAUUGCCAUUUGAUUUUUAGUUGCCUACUUUAUUUUAUUUUUAAUUGUUUCCUUGCUUUAAUUGAGUUAGGCCUUUAAUUAUUGUUAUUCUAAGUUUAGUGAAUUGUGGUUUAAUUCCUAAUUAGUUAUUUAUUUUUACUUUCUUAUUUGAAUUUAUUUGCUUGUUAUCAUUCCUACGAAAUCACCCCCCUGUGUUACUUUGGAUUUCUUAAGAAACAAAUAUACCCAGUCCCUGUGGAUACGACCCUACUUGCCCUGUCCACGAAUUCAUAAUUAUUUGUGAAAAGAAAUAACCAUUCCACUCGGGUAUAUCGGAUCAAGCAAACUCUUCGGGAACAGGGUGAAUCAAGUAACCCAUUGCACACCUAAAAUCCCUGCUCCAGUACUUGGAAUUGGGUUUUGGUCAUUUUAACUGGCAAUUAAGUUUAAUUUUAUUAUUGCACAGGCUGACGACCCUGUCAUUGUAUUUGUACCAAAAGUGAAAACUUAACUAUUUUAGUUGUAUUUAUUUCAUCAUGUUGGAUUGUAUUCAAAUAAUUUUUGUUUGAUUGUUUUUAUAAGUUUCAAUUGUAAAAUUAAAAUGAAUAAUAACUUGAUGAUGUGUUGAUAUUUUAGUACUUGAUUAUUUAUUAAAAUUUAAUUAUAAUAAAAUUUUAUUAACUCAACGAGAAAAAUUUUAUUAAUCCCGUGGGGGCACCCGCGGGGAAAGCGGGGCGGGGCGAGGGGAGUGGGAGGCGGAGGACGGGGCGGGGGCGGGGGAUGGGGGAGGGGUCCCCCGCCCCAACCCCGCCAUCCCCCGUCCCGUUGUCAUCCCUAGUAAUAGACUGGCAAGCAUUGUGGUGGUCAUUGAGCAACUUAUAGGAGAAAUAGUCCUAUAAGCUGUUCAAUGACCAAUCACAACUUGCUAAUUGGAUGACUAAUAUAGCUCUAGCUGUAAUGUUUUAAUUAAAUUACAUCACUAACGUUGGGAUGACUUUUUAACCAAAAAAAAAAAGCCUUAGUUCAAGCUUUUCCCUUUAUUGUGCAUUUUUUAAAGCAUUUGAAAGGCACUGCAAAUCUGUCAUUUUGGACAUUUUAUUAUUGACUAACAAUGAAAGCCGUGGACGUCUACCCAUAACCAACACAAGAUUAAAUUAAUAUUAGAAAAAAUAAUUGAGUAAUUGGAAAAAAAAAAAAAAGAAGAGUCUAAUUUUCAUUGAAACCCACCGACAAACUAUACGUGUCCAUGGCUUUUGAAUAGUGCAUUCAACGUUUAAUUGUAUGGUCCAGUUCAUUGCAGAUUACAUGGAGUAAAGAUUGCGCUCUUUCCUUUUCACCCCUUUUGGAAUCGAUACUGUGGAGAAUUGGGUUUUUCCCUCCUUUUUUUCUUUUCUUUCCUUCUGUGGUUUGCAAAACAUACGUAAAAAUAUGAAAUCCGAAGCAUUCUUUAAUUGGUAUUAAGUAUUGUUGUUGAAAUUAAAAAGAAAAAAGAAAGAACAACAAAAUUCCCAAUCUGGGUUGAUUGUUGAGCUCUAGAUUGGUUGCAUCGUGCUUCCAUAGAAGCAAGAUUUGUAAAAUCGGAAUCCUACAUAGGAUCGAUUUUAGUUUCACAGGAUCGGAUUGUAAAAUCGUAAGAUCCUACCAAAAGCUCUCAAUUGCAAUUAAAGGUUGCAAUUCUUUAAUAAAUUACAAAUAUACCACAAAUAUUUUCAUUUACUUGCAAAAUGGAGCUUCGUAUUUCACAAAUUUACAAAAAAAUUGUAGGAUCGUACGAUCCUACCGAUCCUACGAUCCUACACGAUCCUACCGAUCCUGCUACGAUUCUAUGCGAUCCUACAAAGAUUAAUAUGAUUUGCGACUCUGCAUACGAUCCGGAUCGAUUUUGGUUAUCCGGAUCGUAGGAUCGUAUGAUCCUACGAUCCGGAUCGCGAUUUUGACAACUAUGCAUAGAAGCUCUCUUAGUGUGAUACACUGCUUUCAAUCAGUUUAACACGGGAAAAAAAAAAAGAGAUGAAAAGCAAAUUUGGUGGAGAUAAUUUCAGAAACCUCCCCUGAAGAUUUUGACUAUUCUACUGGUUUCCCUUCAGAUUUUAAAAAUUACACUAAUCUUCCUUGAAGUUAAUUAUCUUGUAACAUUUAAAUUCAAUCAAUAAUUUAAAAAAUGAUAUUAUGAGAGAGAAAAUAAUAUGAUUUUAUCAUUGCCCCCCAUCUUACUACAUUAUUUAAUUAAUUUAAUAGCAACCCACACAUUAAAGAAAAAUAUUAAAAUUUGUUGUUUAUCAUUAAAGAUCAAAUCGCUUAUAACAUCAAAUAAUAGUAUAUUAUUUAUAUUUUUCACUUAAUAUAAUAUCCAAAUUACUCUUUUCAAUUACAUACCCAUUGUUAGAGAAUCAACAACAAAUAACCAAAAAAUUUGCAACCAAAAUAUUACAAAAAAAAUAAACUUUAACAUCAUAAAUAUUCUUAUCAACAUAUUAAAGUUAGUUACUGAAAUUUUUAUGCUGUUAAACUUCACUCUUUUUGAAUACAGAUUUUUUUGAUUAUUUGUUAUUAAUUAUGUUUGAUGAUGGGUUUAUAAUUGAAAAGAACAAUUUGAAACUUACAUUAAGUAAAAUAUAUAGAGUGAUAUACUAUUUUUUAUAACAUAUGUGAUUCAAUCCUUCUUGAUAGGAUUGGUAAUAGAGGUAGAGGGGGGAGUCGGCUGCAUCCGGUCUUCUUUUCAUAGAUAGUACAAUAUUGCGAAAUCAAUCGCAUUCACACAAUAAUAUUUCGAAGUCAAUGCAUGGCUAAGUUGCAUAAAAGUACGAACACUUGUUAUUAUAUAGCUUAAGAUUCAAAACUUUCGAGCAUAACCCUCCACCCAACACAAUUGAAUAAUGAAUAUUCACGAUUGUCAAAUCUGUCAAAGCACAGUUUGAGGACAACCCAUUCCAACCUGCAAAAGAUUUUUUACUUUUCUAAAGUUGUUGAGAGCUGUAAAAAGACUUACCAUGCUUGCAUCCUCCGAGCCUUGGGAGUUAAAAAUGAAGGCACUGAGUGCUAUAAAAAGGGGAAUAGAGGCUGCCUAGAAGCAUAUCAGCCUAAAACAAGAAUUUGUAGUUAAGAUGGGAAGCAAAGCAAAAGCAAUGGGGUCUGGGCUGACUCCUCUUCUUGCCACUGUUUUAGUGGUGUUUGUUGCUCUUGGCUUGCCCUCACAAACUGCAGCUGAUGAUCACUACAAGUAUUCAUCUCCUCCUCCUCCUUACCACUAUCCCUCACCACCACCACCAGUGCAUAUACCUCCACCUCAUCCUGUUUACAAGUACAAAUCUCCACCACCCCCACCACCACACCCAGUUUACAAGUAUAAGUCACCACCACCACCUCCUCAUCCGGUAUACAAGUAUAAGUCUCCUCCGCCACCACCACACCCAGUUUACAAGUACAAGUCACCACCACCACCUCCUCAUCCGGUACCACACCCAGUUUACAAGUAUAAGUCACCUCCACCACCUCCUCAUCCGGUACCCACAGUUUACAAGUAUAAGUCACCACCACCACCUCCUCAUCCGGUAUACAAGUAUAAGUCUCCUCCGCCACCACCACACCCAGUUUACAAGUAUAAGUCACCACCACCACCUCCUCAUCCGGUGCCACACCCAGUUUACCACUACAAGUCACCACCACCACCUCCUCAUCCGGUACCACACCCAGUUUACCACUACAAGUCACCACCACCUCCUCACCCAGUUUACAAAUACGAGUCUCCACCACCACCAGUUUAUAAGUACAAGUCACCACCACCUCCUCCACCAGUUUACAAGUAUAAAUCUCCUCCACCACCACCACCAGUUUACCACUACAAGUCUCCACCACCUCCUCCCCCAGUUUACAAAUACAAGUCUCCACCACCUCCUCACCACUACUAAGCAAUUGCUUCUGAGGUAAUAACACUUGUUCAAUAUACCCACUUCUGCAUGAUAAAGCAUAUCUCUAUCAACACAAACUGUCAUGUCUAUCAUGCUAAGUGCCUUCACUUCAUCCACCAAAAUGACUGCUAGAAAAUUUUUUUUAUGUUACCAAAGAAAGGCAUCAUUUUUUCCCUCUGUUAUCAAGAACUUGUACAGUAUAUAGAUUAAAGAGUAUUUUUUUAACUAGCUUAUCAACUGAGAAAUGCAUAUAGCUGAUAGCCAGCUGAAUAUUUGCAGGCAAAGGAGAAGGAAACCAUGUUUGAGACCUUCUUGAAGAUGUAGAAGCAUAAGAAUAAAAGCCCAAUGUGAAGAUGAUGAUUUCAAGUUUUUCUACGUUACCAUUUCUUUAUCUAAAUUGGUUGUAGCGCCCAAGUUCCUUUGUUUAUGGGAUUUGUAUCGUUUUACGUACCAUGCAGUACAUGUCAUGUUUGUAAGGUUUUCUAUCCUGCCGGCAAACCGCAGGUUCCAUGUGAUAAAUGAAUACUAUUUAUGUUACGACACUUUUCUCUGUUUCUCUUAUAUUUUGUCUUUAAUAUUCUUAAUCAUAUUUUUAACAAAAAUAUUCAAACACUUAGGCAAUCUGGUCUAAUGCUAAUUGUAUGUUUUACUUUUCUUUUUCACCUGCUCCCCUUUUCAACUCAAAAGGAUGCAAUAGUUUGUGAUCACUGUUUAAGACGGAAGCAUGAUACUAAUGAAUAUCUCAUUGAAACUCAAGGAAACUAACAUUGCGAAAAGUGUAAAUCUUGAUUUGAUGCAACUAUUUAUUCGUGGAAUCUAUAGUUACAAAACUCAAAUUCUGACUGCGCCAUUGAUAAAUUAUUAAUGACGCUAUCAUCAUUAUUUAUCCCUAACUAGUUUCGACUACAACUGAACCCAAUAUUUUCCCCAUGAUAAAAGUUUUUGACUAUUUUACUGGCCUCUCUUCAAAUUUUAAAAAUUACACUAAUCUUCAUUGAGAUUAAUUAUCUUGUAACAUUUAAGUCCAAUUAAUAAUUAAAAAAUGAUAUUAUGAGAGAGAAAAUAAUAUAAUUUUAUCAUUGCCCCCCAUCUUGCUAUAUUAUUUAAUUAAUUUAAUAGCAACCCACACAUUAAAGAAAAAUACUAAAAUUUGCUGCUUUUCAUUAAAGAUCAAAUUGCAUAUGCCAUAAAACAUAGUAUAUCAUUCUAUAUGUUUCACUUAAUGUAAGAUCCCAAUUGUUCUUUUCAAUUACAAACCCAUUGUCAAACAUGAUCAAUAACAAAUAAUCAAAAAAUUUGCAACCAAAAUAUUACAAAAAAAAACUUUAACAUCAUAAAUAUUCUUACCACCUCUAGUGCAUUCACCCUCAUAAAAUAAUUCAAGACCCUACUGUCAUAAAAUGACUGAUCAACUCCUGUAAACCUAAUUUGACAACAUUUAAAUGGAGAACUUUAGCUAAAAGAAUUAUGGUCAAGCUAAAGAAAAAACCAGUUAUUUUCCAACAUAUGCAACCAUUGAUCAGGGGAAAAAAAAAAGCAAAAAGACAUCUUCAAUCAUUUAAUAGCUUACAGGGCAAAUUAACCCUUGAGUGAAAACUGGUUGCUCUAGAAUUAAAAUUUUACCUUAGUUACCCAGGCAACUUUUUUGUUGCCUUUUCUUUUUCUUUUUUGGGUAUAUAGCUCCAGUUUUGCCCCCUCUGUCAAGCUUAUAUAAUUAUUAAGAUAAUAAAAGUGCCUUUAAUAGUAUUAAUAUAUCCAUUGACUUGAGCUGUCAUCGAUCGGUUUGGGCUACUUCGAUUCCAUGAGAACAAAUGGUAAUAAAAGUACUCAGAAAAUGGGGAGUCAUGAAACCCUUUUGUUCUAUUCAUUGCUAAGAUGCUUUUCUCUAUAAAGAGACUUCCUAACGAAAAUACUUUGUAGAUUUCUUUACUCCAAGUGGUGCAUGGAAAAUUAAUAUUUUCAAUUAUCAAAUAAAAUUCCCUUUUUUCGGCGUAGAUUUCAUCCAUCCAGCUGUUAACACAUUCUAUAAAUCCGAAUUGACUAAUCUUUUCGUUUCCAUUUUCCAACUUGCGAAUACGGCAUAUAGUGUCUGCUAAACACUAUAUAUUCUCUGCCAAAUAUGAAUACAUAUCACUUUUCUGAGCAAGUGCAGAGUCAUUAUCAUUUUUAUUCCCACCUAACAAAUUAGGGAUAAAAAAGUUAAUAAUCUUUACAUGCUAUCAGGUCACAAGUUAAUAAUCUUUUAAAGAACAUGUUAAAUUAAUUUAUUGGUAUGAAUAGUAGUCAAAGAAGUAUGUUAAAGUUAGUAAUCUUUAAAAUAAUAUGUUAAAAUCAUUCGUACAAAUUAGUCAGAGAAGUAGCAUAAACACCGCGAUGCAAUUAAUACUUUCAAUCUCAAGGUCUCUAUUAUGGAAAUUUGCAUCGGUCAAUAUACACUUGGCAUAAUAUAAUCUCCCAACUCAUUUCUUUACAAAUGCACCUUUAAUCACCACCAAAAGGUGUGGACAUGAUCUUUACCCUAGAAAACUAUUCACCGACAGGCAAAUUGACGUCAGAAAUACUGAGGAAUUCUAGUUUCCUUCGGGUUCAUGCCAUGUUGUAUCCUUCAACUGUAACUCGAUUUCUAAGCUGUAAUUUGUGACAUAAUAGUCCUUAAACUAUGAAACCCUUCUUACUUAAUUACAAUGGUUAAUACAAUGCCCGUGACUAGACAAGUAUGAAGCAACCAUAACAGAAAAAAAAUCCAAAAUUAGAGAAAAGAAAGAAGUUUCGCGACCACCACCAGUUUACAAGUCACCUCCACCACCUCCUCCAGUUUACAAGUCACCUCCACCACCUUACCAUUAUUCCUCACCACCACCUCCAGUGCAUUCACCCCCACCACCACCAGUUUACAAGUCUCCGCCACCACCUUACCAUUAUUCCUCACCACCACCUCCUGUGCAUGCACCUCCACCACCAAUUUACAAGUCACCUCCUCCAGUUUACAAGUCUCCACCACCACCUUACGAUUAUUCCUCACCACCACCUCCAGUGCAUUCACCCCCACCACCACCAAUUUAUAAGUCUCCCCCACCGCCUCCCCCAGUAUAUAAGUCACCACCACCACCUCCUCCAGUAUACAAAUCACCUCCACCACCUCCUCCAGUUGACAAAUCUCCACCACCACCAAUUUAUAAAUACAAGUCUCCUCCACUACCUCCUCCAGUGUACAAGUCAUCACCACCACCUGCUUACAAGUCUCCACCUCCUCCAGUUUACAGUUCCCCACCACCACCAAUCUACAAGUCUCCACCUCCACCCUACCAUUACUACUACAAUUCUCCUCCUCCUCCUCGUCACUACUAAGCAAUUGUAUCCAAGUUUUUGAGGUAAUAACGCUUAACCAAUAAAUUAACUUUCGCAUGAUAAACCUUAUCUCUAUCAAGACAAACUGCCAUGUGUAUCAUGCCAAAUACGUACACCUAGAUCCAUGAAAAUGAAUGGUAGAAAGUUUUCUUAAGAACCAAGAACAGCAUUAGUAUUCCCUCUGCUUCCAAAAACUUGUGUAUUAAAUAGAUUAAUGAAUUGUUUAACAUGCUCAUCUACUUGAAAAUGCACAAUACCCAUAACCCACUGAAAUUUUUGCAGGAAAAGGGAAAGAGAAUCUGUGUUUGAGAGCUUCAUGAAGAUGUUGAAGAAUAAGAAUAAAAGCCCAAUGCAAGGAUGUUUUCAAGUUUUUCUAUGUUUCCACUUUAAUUUGUAAAUUGAAUUUUGCGACUCAAUUAAUUCCCUGUUUGUGAGGUACGUAUUGUUUUACGUACCAUGCCGUACAUUUUUUUUUUCCAACAAACGGUAUCAUGUUAUAGAUAUUAACACUUGACCUUACAAGGAUUAGUUACAAAAAGGGGAUACUACCCUCAACUCUGUCCUAGCUAAAUCAGUCAGCCAUAUUGGGAAAUUAGUUUCCCAUUCAAUAUCAUGUACAAGCUUCACAGCAUAUUGUGCUAAUUGAUGGCUGAUGUGAUUUUCAGUUCUAGGUAUAAACACAAAAGAACAUUUUUCAAAAGCUAGACUAAGUUCCUGCACAUCUUCUAAGAUAGUUGCAGUCGUGUAGUCAUACUCCUUGCGUUUAGUAAUCUGCUCUACCACUGAUUUGCAGUCUGUAUGGACUAUAAUUUGUGUCCAACCUGCUUGGGUAGCCAUCAGCAGAGCAUUUCUCACAGCCCGAGCUUCCACUUCACUUGCCGAUCCCUUUCCCUGUGUGACAAUUCCUUUUGCUUUCAAAAGCUGUCCUUUCCAAUUUCUUGCUAUAAUCCCUUGUCCGGUCCUGACUCGUUUAGCUGAUAUCGCUGCAUCGGUAUACAGCCUUAUCUCUUCCUUCCUUGGCCGCACUCUCCUGGUAGGUAAGGCAUCAUUCAGCUUCCCUGCGAUCUCCUUCUGGUCUGUACUCCCUACCUGUUCAAACUCAAGCCAUUCCUCCUGUGCUUUCCUUACUAUUUUUACUGGAUCCUGGUUGGCUUGUUCAAAAAAUUUUUUGUUCCUGGCUUUCCAAAUUUGCCAAAGGAUAUUGAUAGUAAGACUAACUCUCUCCUGACCUUGGUUCAGUGCCAGCGAUUGUGUGACUUGUUCCCACCAUAACCAAAAGUUAUAUUGCAUACCCAGUAAUCCAUCCCACCUGACCGGUGCUAGCUUCCACGUUUCCACAGCCUUUUCACAGAAGAAAAACAAAUGCUCAAUAGUUUCCAUAUCUUCACCACAGCAACCACAUCUGCCUUCCCCUCUAUGUAGCCUUUUCGACAUCUGUUCAUUGACUGGCAGACAAUUUUGUAAGCACUUCCACAUGAAGUGUUUUAGUUUGGCCUUCACCUUCAAAUGCCAUAGCUGCUUCCACACAUUUCGUUUUCGUAUCUCCCAACUUGUUUCUGCCUCUUGGCCUGUCCUUGUACCUGCUUUUCCUUCCCGUUGCCUUGCUAAAGCAUAACCAGAUUUCACGCUAUAAAUUCCAGCUUUGGAAUGCCCCCAUACCAACCUAUCCUUUCUUCUUCCUAUACUUGUUGGAAUUCCCUUUAUGUGCUCUGCAUCUUUUGCACAAAACCACUUGAGAAGCAAAUCAUUUUUCCAUUUCCCUUCCUCUAUCAGCUCACUUACCCAUUCCAACUUGCAUCCCACAGGUUGUGUGGUUGAUGCAAAGCCGGUAUCUGAACCAACUAUCCAUCUGUCCCGCCACAUGUUGACUGACUUGCCAUCUCCAAUUCUUUUCCAAAGACCAUCAUACAGAAAGGAGGCUGCACUAUGAAUACUCUUCCAACACCAUGAGGCUGAAGAGACUGGCUUCUUGUCCAUCCAUUUUUCAUCACUCAUAUACUUCGCCUUCAUUACCUUACUUACUAACAAAUUUGGAGCCAUUAAGAAUCUCCAAAUUUGUUUUGCCAGUAAUGCUGUGUUGAAGGCCUCCAAAUCUCUAAAGCCUAAACCUCCUCUUCCCUUAACUUCUAAGAGCUUCUUCCAGCUUGCCCAAUGUACACAGGUACCCUUUUCUCCCUUCCCCCACCAGAAACUCGCUAUUUUACCUGUGAUUUGUCUACACAAACCCCUUGGAAGUCUAAAGCAAGCCAUCACAUAUGUUGGCAUAGCCAUAAUCACUGAUUUGACCAGAAUUUCUUUCCCUCCUUGGCUCAACAGUUUUUGUUUCCAACCUUGCAACUUGUUACUAAUUUUGUUCUGGACAAAUGCAAAGACCUGUGUCUUUGAUCUUCCAAUUGCCAUUGGGAGUCCUAGGUAGGUUCCAUUCCUUGCCUCUUUAAUGUUAUCUAAUACCUCCCUCACUCCAUUCUUCCUUUGAUCAGUGGUAUUUUUGCUAUAGAAGAUAGCUGACUUUUCAAAAUUCACCACCUGUCCGGAUGCUUGACCAUAUCUUUCCAAUAUGCUUUUGACCUUCCUCGCCUCCUGCUUGGUUGCUUGGCAGCAUAGUAGAGAAUCAUCUGCAAAAAAUAGGUGAGAAACCAUCGGACUGUCCUUGCAUAUUUUGAUCCCUGUAAUUUCCUUGUUCAUCAUAGCUUUAUGGAUCAAACAUGAAAGACCUUCAGCGCAUAUAAUAAACAAGUACGGGGAUAGGGGGUCUCCUUGUCUAAGCCCUCUACUCGGUUGAACACAGCCUACCUUUUGCCCAUUUAAGUUGAAGGAGUAAGUCACAGUAGAUAGGCAAGACAUGAUCCAUUUAACAAAAAUUGGACAAAACCCCAUUUUCAUCAUAACUCUCCCCACAUAUUUCCAUUCGACUCUAUCGUAAGCUUUGGACAUGUCCAGUUUAAGAGCCAUAAAUCCUACCCUUCCCUUUCUCCUAUUUUUCAAAAAAUGCAGGAUUUCAUGUGCAACUACUACAUUAUCAAGAAUUUGACGGCCUGGGAUAAAAGCGGAUUGAGAGGGACUAAUACAAUGAUGCAAGACACCUUUCAAUCUAUUAGCUAUGAUUUUAGAAAUGAUUUUAUACAGGACAUUGCACAAGCUAAUAGGUCUAAAAUGCACCACAGAUUCAGGAGUAUCAACUUUAGGAAUCAACGAAAUAAUAGUAUCAUUCACAGCUUUGAGCAAAUGCCCAGUAUGAAAGAAACUCUUAAUAGCUGCUACCACAUCAUCCUUGAUAAUAUCCCAAUAGUGUUGAAAAAAUAGAGGAGACAUACCAUCCGUUCCUGGUGCUUUAUUAGGGUGCAUCGAGAACAAAGCUUUCCUGAUCUCACUUUCCUCCACUUGUCGUAUCAGUUGUCCAUUCAUAUGACUCGAAAUAGUGCUUGGAAUUUCAGCUAGAAUGUCCUCAAAGCAGUCCGGGUUAGUAGUGGUAAAAAGGUCUUUAUAGUACUCACAAAGUUCCUCCUCAAUCUCAUGUUCCUCCUUGCACCAUGUCCCAUCUUUUUUCUGCAAUAUAGUGAUCUUAUUUCUCCUCCUCUUUGCCAUGACCGAAGAAUGGAAAAAAGCUGUAUUCUUGUCCCCUUCUUUGAGCCACUUGUUCCUGGAUUUUUGACUCCAAAACAUCUCUUCCUCUGCAUAAGCUUUAUUCAAUUGUGCUUUUAGUUCAGCCACUUGUACUCUUUUCCCUUCAUCCUUUCUUGCUUUCACUUCAGCCAAUUUCUCCUUUAACACUUUAAUUCUAACCUUUGAGUUUCCCUGCACCUUUUUCCUCCAAUCCAGAAUAGCCAUGCGACAUUCCUUUAUUUUUGUAGCCACUCUAAACAUCCUGGACCCUGACUUCACCUUUGUCCAUGCUCCUUGAAUCACCCUUUUUGCUUCUGGAUUUAGCGUCCAUCGUUGAUCAAAGUAAAAUCUCCGUUUUCUCCUUGUGUUUUCCGGGUUUGUAUCCACAAGAAGCAUUAGAUGAUCAGAGGCUUCAGUAUCUAAAUGAGUACACUGUGCCUUUUCAAAUCUUUGCAGCCAUUCGGUGCUGCAUAAACAUCUAUCCAACCUCUCUUUCACUUCCCCAUCCCCCUCCCAACUAUUGCACCAAAUCCACGGGACCCCUUGAUAACCUAAGUCAACCAGGUUAUUGUCUUUGAUAAACCUGUUGAACUCCCUAAAACAUCUUUCAGCUCUAUCCCUUCCUCCCCACUUCUCCUCACUAGACCUCAAAUCAUUAAAAUCUCCUACAAUGAUCCAGCCAUCCCCCCAGUCCCUCAUCCUGUCCUCUAAAUAUUUCCAUUGUGCUUUUCUAAUGUUACUAUCUGUGCUUGCAUAAACACACACUAGCCCCCAGUAUCCUUUAGUAUCCUUGUCCUCAACUCUAGCACUAAUACACCAAUCAGUACUUACAAUCUGGUCUAAAAUCACCUCAUUGUUCCAGAAUAAUGCUAGACCGCCUGCUUUACCUAUUGAAUUCACAAAAAAGCUAUUGUCAUACUGAAUCUUCCUUUGAACCUUGCCCAUAAACCCUUCCUGAUUCUUAGUUUCACAAAGGAACACCACCUUAGGAGAGUGGAAGUUAGUCACUUCCUUUAGUUGGGGACUUGUCAAGGGGCCUCCUACACCUCGACAAUUCCACACCACAACCUUCAUUUACACUUUGGAGGCUUUCCGGGGCUAGCCUCCAUUUCCCCUAUUGUACUAACAUUUAUUAGAUCCAGUUUCAUAACCUUUACCUUCGGUACAUUAUCAUCAUCCUCCUCUAUCGGUUGUGUUCCCUGAAACAUACCAUCAGCCUUCCUUUUAGCACACGAAACCUGCGUUACUUGUCCAUUUGUAUCUGCCUUUAAGGAUGUUUUAGCCGGCCUCCCUCUUCUUUUAAAACUGCUUCUUUUUUCAGCUUUGUUAUCUUCUUCCCCUGGAGUAGCCUCCUUUCUUGGCAUUCUUGCAUUUGUCUCCUCCUGCUUUAUUGACCCUACCCGCAAACUUUCACAUUCCUGUUUUGAGCUGUCCGUUUCCAUAUCCUCAUAAUCUACUGGUGGGAUUACGCUGCUCCCUCCUUUACUCCCUUCCUGUACCCUACCCUCCUUUUCACCAUUUCCCUCCAUUAAGACCACAGCCAAACUUUCCACCCGUUGGUUUGCCUUUCCAUACUGCCUGCUGUCUUUUAGAAUCUCAUCCCACCUCUCUUCAUAUUGUCUCGUCAUCAUUUUCUCCUUAUCCCCCCUUUCCUUUCCCCCCAAGACUCUACCAUUUUUUCCCCCAAGAGUUAAUGUAUCUCCAGCCAUUUGUACUCCAGUUUGAACUUCACUACUAGGAGACCCUGCCCCCACCCUCCUUGCAUCAAUUUCACUUACUCCUUCCAGCCGUCCCUUUAAGGGAGAUACCAUUAUAUUUCCAGCUCUCAUCCAGGCACCAUAUUGUUCCUCUCGCUUCUCCCCCCCACCCUUCCUACCACAGUACAAGUCCUAUCACUAUGCCCAAUGAUACCACACCUAUAACAGAAAUCAGGGCAGCGUUCAUACCUGAACUCAACCCACACUGCCUGGUUCUUACAGUUGAUCUUUGUCCCUCUAACCAGUGGUUUCGUUAUAUCUACCUCAGCCAUAAUCUUCAUGUGGCGACCCUCUUUCCCACCACUUCCUGGGAGAAUCACUCCCCUCACUGAUUUAAAGAUCCCUCCUAUUUUCAAACCCACUGCUCUGCUCAACCAGUGCACCGGUAGGUUCCAUAGUUGAAUCCAAAGAAAGGAAUGCUGGAAAAAGCUGCUGUUUGUAUCAUACCCCUCUACCCACUCCUUCACUAUCAGCAACUGGUUGUCCAUGACCCAAGGCCCUCCAGAUAAGAUCUUUUUCUUUUCCCCUUCAUCUCCCAGAUGGAAAUGGAAUAAGUUAGGACCUAACUCAGUCACUUUCAUCUUUGAGGGGUAUCCCCAUGCAUGAUUUGUAAAGUUCUUUAACCCCGUAAAGUUGGCAAUUUUUUCACCAAUCAGCUUUCCUACCAGGCUUCCUUGACACUCAGAGACGCCUUCUUCCAGGUCCUCACCACUCAGAUCGACACCUCCUAACUCUGUUUCAGACAAGUCAAAAUUUUGAAAGGCUCUUUCUAAAGCAUCCGCCAUUGCUGUGACGAGAGCUCCUUGAGAAACCAAGCACUAUUUCUGAGCUAUGAGUGACCCACUGACAGACCUGUGAAGAAUUGCAAAGACAGACAAAGCUGUGUUAUCCGUACACACUAAAAACCAACCAGAAAAACAGAGAGGAACUCGACAGAAAAAGCACAGGCACAAGAAGAAACGAAAGAAAAAAGAAAAACCAACAAACCACUAUCCCACUCCCGACCACAUAACAGCAUUAAAGAAAGGGACACAAAUACGACACUCCAACUUCCGAUCACAUGCUCUGACUCAAUGGAUCAUAUCUUGCCCAAAGCGUUUACUCCUCCAACCGAUUCCAAACCACUACAGACAUUGUCUCCCAUUUUGAAGCCGGAAGAAAGGUGGCUUCUGGACAGGGAACAUGAAAGCAAAGGUUGAACUAAAGAUUUGAUUUUAGAUCUGAAAAUUACGCUGUAGGAAAAAGUGCUAUGUGUUUGUACCUCACCCACUCUCCCACACCGAGGAGGGGAACCUCUAAAGUUAGAGAGAGAAGCUCUCAAGUUAGAGAGAAGCUUUGGAAGUUAAUUACCAACGUACCAUGCCGUACAUGUUUGUAAGGAUUUCUAUCCUAUUGGCAAAAGUCGGUUCCAUACAAUUAAUCAAUUCAUUUCACUUCUAUUGGCUCUACUAUUUAUGCAUGUUACGACACUCUUUCCCUUAUAUUUUGCCUUUAAUAUUAUGAGUCAAUAGUAAUAAUGGGCCUUUUUCUUAAAAUUAUACUAUUAUACAUAGGUAGUUUGGUCUAACGCUAAAUUCAUGUUUGUCUUUCUUUUAUUCCCUUUACAUCUCAAAGUAUACUAUAGUUUGUAAUCAUUGUGGUGAUGAUAUUACCAGCUGGUACUUAUAGUUUAAGGCAGAGACAUGAUAUUAACAACUAUCUCAUUGAAACAUAAGUCAAAAUCAUGACAAGUGUGAGUCUUGGUUAAUGCACAAUUUGUUAGUGGAAUUUAUAUUUAUAAAACUCAAAAAAAAUUUUUGACAAUGCUAUUACUAAUUAAUUAAGGACUUCAUUGCUAUAAUUUAUCGCUUACUAAUUUAAACUAUAAAUGAUCUCAAUACUUUUCUCCAUGAUGUCGAUUUCUUUAGACUACGAAAGGGAAAAAUUAGUGACAUAUCCCUUACUGAUUACAACAUCAGCAAAAAUUAGUUAUAAACUUUUCCGGUGGUUUUAAAUCCCUCGGGCACUAAGGUUUUUUGCACAUCGAGUGAAUUAAGGAACAUAGGCAAUUCGUUCUGCAUACCAAGUCCUUGUUUAAGAUGCACGUACUAAAAUGCAUCCACUUCAUUAAUUUGGAAAAUUGCCAUAGUUUUUUUUAAGCAUUUUGAUUUUUUACAUGAUUCAAAAUUUUCUUAUUGGAUACAAUCACUUUGUGUCAAGAACACAUUUUCAAUCAUCUUUUUUAUCUUCUCAAUAAGAAAAUAAAAAUUUAUUCAUGCUUUUCUAACAUAUCCAAUCAUUGAUCUGAAAAAUAAAGAAUUAAAAAAAAAAGACAUUUUCAAUCAUUGCUUACGGGGCAACUUCCCCAUGUGAACCUCAUCAAACAAAGCCAAUAAUAUGAAGGAACAUCUAAAUACACUUUUGCCCUAAAGGCUGGUUGCCUUGGGGUCAAAAUUUAACCUUCGGGAGUAUAAUUACCCGCCAAAUUUAUUAUUUUUUUUAUGGGUAUAUAGUUCCAAUUUUGCCUCCUGUUAAGCUUAUAAAUAUAUUACGACCCAGAAAAUAAAGGAAUCUUGAAUAGUAACAUGUCCAUUGACUUGAGUUGUUAUCAAUUUGGCUACUUCGAUUCCAUGAGGCCAAUCCAAUUCACACUAGCUAGAGAAAAUGGUGAUAAAGGCACUUAGAAAUUUAUAUGUAAUAUUGAUUGGUAGUAACUGAUAAGUAUAUAUUUUACGUGUUUUAAAUAUGUUUUAUUAGUUAGUUUUGGUGUGUUUUAACUACUUUUAUAACUAAUUAACUAGGAAUCUAGUGAAAAUAUGCAUUUUGUGGUUUGAAGUGUAAAAAUUGUAUUUCUAUGGAUUUUAAUGGUGAAAACUUCAUGUUUUUGUAGGUUUAAUGAUUCAAUCAUCAAAUGACAUGAUUUGAGAAGAUAAUUAGAUGAUUGAUGAUGUUUUGAAGUGAUAAAAAGAGAAUACAAAGUGCAAGAGAGGAAAUGCAAUCAAGAAUAAAAGAAGAAAAUUUUUGUAGCUUUGACAUAUUGUCGUAUUUCGGCAAUAUAUUGAGCUACAAUGAUCGGAUUAAGGUGAUUCUUAAACCAUUUGAAGCUAAAAUAUAGAUCUACAUUUGGCAUGAAGGCAUCGAAACCCAUGUCAGUCAUUUUCCUUGUCAAAAUGUUGAAAUACAGAAGUGCAACUCUGUUCUCGAAAGCUAAAACAGAGCUCUGGCUAGUCGAGGGUAUUUUCAUCAUUUCUUAGUCCACAGAGCUCCAAAUGAGAUGAUUCUUAAGGCAUUAGAACCCUAACUCAAAGAGCUACAACUUUCAUAUUUUGUACAAGAGUUAGUUCGGCCUCUAUCAUUAAGAAAAUAGUAGUUGAAGUGGUGCCAAAUGCAUAGAAGUGAAAACGCGAGCUAUCAAUACUCGACCUGAAGUCGCGUAUUCCUGAGGUCAUGCAUUCUCUUCUAUUUUCUGCAACUUGCCCUGCUUUCACAUAACUUUUUCAUCUCAAUUCCAACUAUCAAUUUCGGCUAUAUCUGAUCAAGAAAAGUGUGGAAAGUUUGAAAGACAACUCAUAGGAGUUUCAAGAGUCAAAAAUUACAAUUAGAAACAACUCAUUUGGCUCUUGAAUCCUCUAUAAAUAGAGGCCUUUGAAGAACAUUUUCACAACUUUGGAAGGUUAGAGAAACUCCACAAAAACAUAGUCUUCACUAGAAUUUCCUUAGUUCAUUAGUUAGGGUAGUAUAGUAUAGUUAGUGUAGCUUUUCCUUCUUGUAUUUAUAGUUAGGUUUGAAUGAAGAUUCAGGAGCAAAGAUAGAGAGGUUGAUCUCAUGUGACAAGGGUGAUAUCUCUUCUACUACUUUCUCUUUUGUAUUUGAUUUCAUAUUUAACUAUACUACAAAUUUGGCUUUGUUUUUUUUUUUUUAUCAUGUUUAGUUAAAGUUUAUGCCUAGAGUAUGGAUGACCUUUUUAUAUCUUGUUUGUGAUAUUUAACUGGUUAUUUGAUGAUGUUAUUUUUGAGCAAGUUAUUUAUCACUUUUGCUUUUCUAAUCAUGAUUAACUGGCCAUUAGUUGUGAUUAUCUAAAAGUGUUAAGUUUGUAAUGAGAAUUGGAGUUUAACACUAGUUCAAGGAAGUGAUAAAUUUAGGGAGUUCACUCAUGAGAGUAGAGGAACACCUUUGUGACCUAAGUGACUUGUUUCAUAUAAUUUCAUAGAAAAAAUGAACUUGUAAUUAAUUUCAUAACCACGAGAGUAAGUAUGGUUUAGCUAUAUGUAUAGUUGAUUCACUACGAGAGUAGGUUUCACAUACAUUAGAAAAUUACAUCAUAACUAGUCAAGAUAAUAUCAUUCAUUUAAUCAGUAAUCUCAUUUGCAUGAGUAGUAAGGCAUUCCAUAUCUCUAGGAGGUUUUUAGUAUUAUUUUCAUUACUUUUAUGUUUAUGGUAGUCUAGAUAAUAAUGGAGUUCGAAAACUACUAGUAAUUGAAAAUUUUCCCUGUGGGAUCGACCUUUAAUACCCUAUACUCGCUCUCGACUCGUAUACUUGAGAAAAAUCACGUGUGCGGUAUUUAGAAUUUAUAAAUGUAAAACUUGACUGUAGAUGAACUAAUUGAUAUAUGUAUACCCCGCACUCGUCAGUAACCAGCUUGUAUUGAUCCCACUAUUGUGGAUAAUUGUGCUCUUAUGAAAAAAAAUUAUAAAAAAAUUAGCAAAAUUUAUGAUAACAAAUUAAAUUUAUUCAUACAAAUCAGUGAAAGAAGUAGAAUUUUAAAGUCCAUGAUGAAAUUAAUACUUUCAAGGGCUCUAUUAGGAAGACUUCACUUGUUGGUGAAACUACACUAGCACAGUUAUAUGCACAUUUACUGUUUUGGUAUCUAAUUUCCUUGCCUUAAGUUGGGUGCAGAUGUUUAUAUUACAAAUAGAUGGUAUCAUAAAAUUGUUGUAUUCACGUUUGUUCUUUUUUUUCUUCCUUAAGUUUUUUUCUUUAUUCUCGUGACUUCAAAAAUACGAACUCAAGAAAUUGGCUGCUUAAUCAAUAUGUCAUACAGGCUUCGCUAGUGAGGUAUAACUUCACAACUAGAGUCAAUAGAAAUUAUCAAAUGAUUUUUUAACAUCCAAAUUAAGCAAUAAAUUUUGUUUUCAUUUUAUGACAUAUAAUAGUACUACUUCAUGAGAGAUUUUAUAGUUUCUUUUAGGUAUCAUACCUACAAGUGAUAUUUGUCAUUGGAUAGUGACAGAAGUGUUAAUGAUUGUAAGAUUAAAUAUUGUUAAAUAUUGAAAUUUAAACUAUUUAUCUUUAUUGAAAGAUACAAGUUAAAGAAUCGUUCAAGGGGGCAAUUUUCCAUCUUGUCUUUUUGAAAAAACGCUAUCACAUUGUAUAGGCAUGAUAGGUUCAAAUUUGUCAUUAAAUUUAUGAUUGAUUUUCCUUUUAUUCAAGCCAAAUAUUGUUUUAAUUAUCAAAUUCUACUUAUAUUUGGUUAAUUGUACUAAUUGUAGGGCGGUAGAGCAAAAGUUGCUAAAAAUAGGCGAUUUUCUGCAAAUUGGUUGUCAAGGCUGAAGGAUUUGGGAUUCGCAUGUUCAAGGCCUGUUUCCAAGUUUGAUUCAAACUCUGGACAGUUUUAGAGGAAGAUUUGGAAGAUUUGAAAUUUCAUUAUUAGUUUUAUGGUUGAAUUAGGAAUCUUGGAAUAAUUUCUUUUGUGAUUUAUUUUUCUAUUUAGGAGACUAGUUGUUAUUUAGUAGUAGACUUCAAUUAGAAAACAAAGAGAAAAAGAAGGCCGGAAUCCCGCUUGAUUAAUACCUUGGCCAGGGAACAAUCUCGGUGGGGAGGACGGCCACUUAGCCUCUCAAUUCAUCUUGCUUUUCGUUAGUUUGAGAGGAAAACCAAUUGCAACUAGAUUCAAUGGAGUCUGGCAGAAUUUCUUCUAGGAUGCGUAGCUAAAUCCUCAAUUUUUAGUCGAAGGUCAAUUUGAAAAUUCGGUUCCAAAUAUCUGUGAAAUCGAAUUAUUUUACUUAUUUCUUUUAUUUAUUGGUAUUCGCACGUUUUCUGAUUUAACUUUUUAUGAUUGUUUUGUUAUUUGAAUGUCAAGGGUCCGAUAUUCGAAUUAACUUAAUAAUCUACUGCCAAAUUAACCGGUUAAAUCCGUAAUUGUUUGAUUGAUUAAUAUCAGUGGCGACUAGCGUGAUUGGUCCCAUGUUAGGAAAACGUCUGAUCUAAUUUAAACAAACCGUCGUAGCGUGUUUGUUGAUUAGGGUUGGGCUUUUCUAAUUCUUAAUUCAAUUGAGAAAUUAAAUCCCCCGGUCGUACCUAGGAUUAUUUUUUUGUUAGCGAAAUAGUUAAUGGUCGUACCUUGACUAUCGAAAAAGUAAGGAAGAGUUGAUUGUUUAUCGCGUGUACGACAACUAUAAUCAAUCUAUUAAUGAGUAAUUGAAUUAUCUUUGCAUCAGUAAUCAGUUGAAUGGACCGUGUCUGAAAAGUUGUACCUUUGGCUAGAGUCUUAUCUGUUGUUGAUUCAUUCAUAUCUAUCUUCAUGCGUUGUUUUAAUUUAGUUAAUUAGUUAUUUUUAUAAAAACCCCUCAUCUCUGGACUCUAAAAGAAAUAAAUUAUUUCUAGUUCCUGUGGAUUCGAUCCUACUCACCAUACAAUCCAACCUGCAAUUGUAUGAACCCCAAUCUCGCUUCCUAGUCCACCAUUUUUCUCUAGGUAAUAAUCUCCCUUCUAAUUUCUUCACAAAAUGCACCUUUCAUCACCUCCAAUAGCGUCGACAUGAUCUUUACCCCAGAAGACUAUUCACCGACUCUCAAUUGACGUUAGAAAAUCUAAGAGUAAUUCUACUUUACCCUAAGAUUGAUAUCAACAAGACAAGGACAAUUUAGAAUUAUUACACGCCUCUUCUUAAUAGGAAAAAGAAAUAGAGAAGAAAGUCAGGCCAGGUCUAAUUUCUUUUCAAAGGCAAUACAACAUUACGAAAUCAAGCAUUCAUUCAUACAAAUAUUUCAUAGUCACCGGUUUGCUGAGUAGAAAAAUUUAGACAAAAACUUAAUAUUAUAUUGUUUAAGAGUUAACAAUUUAGAGCUUAAUCUCCUUGUACUUUGGAGUUAACAAUUUAGAGCUUAAUCUCCUUGUACUUUGGACUAAACUUGAACGUGAAAGGAAAUCCCAAAACCAUAUUGGGCAUGAAUUCACACUUAAUAUACCCAAUAAAAGAUGGCGACUGGUGAAAGGCAGUGGAGACUGGUGGAGAGAUUUGAGGAAUAGAAGCAGACGGAAAAGCAACAAAUUUUUGCCGAAAAACGGUCACUUUCAUGGUUAAUUUUGCUACUCUCCAAUUGUACUUGACCAAUUACAACAAUUUCAUGGAGUUUGAUACGUGAAAAGAAUUUUUUAUAAAUUUUAUUUUGAUCCAUAAUGUUAUCUUUACAUAUAUAAAACAUUUUACAAUUUUGAUUUUGGCGCAGUUAACUUUUGGUAAACAAAAAUGCUCAUGUUUAAAAAACCGGAAAUAAAACAAAACAAGAAACAAAAGAAAUAAGAGGGUAGCAUAGACAUUUUGGAUUUUUCCGUUAAUUUGGAUGAUUUCCACCCACGUUCUAAUUUAAUCCAAAACACAAAGGAAUUACGUAGAGGUUUUAAAUAAUGAGGGAGCUUCAUGAUCGAACCCCAAACCACAAGGCGAUUUACUAUAUUUUACUCUUAAAUUUUGGUUUCAUCUCAUAGCAUACAAGAGUUCUAUUUCACUAUCUGUAGACAAAGACUUUCUAUGGUUGAUGUACCAUAGGAAAAAAUCUGCCUAUACAACGUGAUAGCAUUUUUUCAAAAACACAAGAUGGAAAAUUGCCCCCUUAAACGGGGAAAUUCAUGAUCUUUCCUCGAACAAAGAAUACUCACGCCUAUUCAAGAUGGAAAAUUGCCCCCUUAAACGUCUAUUUGUCAAUUCUUGAAAAAAGAAUACUCACGCCUAAAACACGGCCUCUUCAUCUGCAGAAUUCUAAAAAGUUAGGUAAACUCUAUAAACAAGUUGAUAGGUACAAUCGUACCCAAGAUCAAGUACAGAUAGUUGUACAUUCACUGCUGCAAUAACUAAUCUGAUGACUUACAAACAUAUCAUGGUCAAUCGUUGAAUGGUAAUGAGUCUUUUGUUAUGCAUUAGUAUUAGUGUGUACACUCUAAUAGAUUGAUACUUAUACUCUUUAAAUUAUCAUAAUAAUACCCUUAAUUAACUUUAACUCUUAAAAAGAAUACGUGUUAAUACACGAGAGUGUGUAACCUGAAUUGUUACUUAUACAUUAGUGUGUAAUAGAUAGGGAUGGCAAUGGGGGCGGGUGCCCGCAGGCAACCGCCCCGCGGGGGGCUCUCGGGGCGGGGAGGGGGGAAUUUUUUCCCCCCGUUUAGAAACGGGGCAGGGGACGGGGGAGUAUACCCCCGCCCCAUCCCCCGCAAAAAAAAUUAUAUAUAUAUAAUUAUAUAUAAUAUGUAAUUUAAUUAGUUAUAAACUUAUGAUAAUGAUAUUAUUAGUUAGAUGUAUUAUAUAAUGUAUAUUAGUGUAUGUAAUAUAAUUAAUAUUAUCAAUUAUACGAAUAAUUAGACAUGUCUACUAAUAGAAUUUAUUAAUUAGUUAUACUAAAUUUACUAAUACAUUUAUACUAAAUUUCUAAUUACAUUUAAUAGAAUAACACUUUUUUCUAAAAAAAAAAGCACAAACACAAUAAUGAAUUAGUGAUUGUAUUUUUACCAAAAAUGAAAACUUAACUAUUUUAGUUGCAUUUAUUUCAUCAUGUUGGAUUGUAUUCAAAUAAUUUUUGUUUGAUUGUUUUUAUGAGUUUCAAUUGUAAAAUUAAAAUGAAUAAUAACUUGAUGAAUAAUAAUGUCAAUCGUUGAAUGGUGUGUACACUCUAAUAUUAUGCAUUAGUAUUAGUGUGUACACUCUAAUAGAUUGAUACUUAUACUCUUUAAAUUAUCAUAAUAAUACCCUUAAUUAACUUUAACUCUUAAAAAGAAUACGUGUUAAUAACUCUUAACCUGAAUUGUUACUUAUACAUUAGUGUGAAAUAGAACGGCAAGCAUUGAGCAACUUAUAGGAGAAAUAGUCCUAUAAGCUGUUGGAUGACUAAUAUAGCUCUAGCUGUAAUGUUUUAAUUAAAUUACAUCACUAACGUUGGGAUGACUAAUGGUUUAAAAAUAAUUGAGUAAUUGGAAAAAAAAAAAGAGACUAAUUUUCAUUGAAACCCACCGACAAACUAAACGUGUCCAUGGCUUUUGAAUAGUGCAUUCAACGUUUAAUUGUAUAGUCCAGUUCAUUGCAGAUUACAUGGAGUAAAGAUUGUGCUCUUUCCUUUUUCACCCCUUUUGGAAUCGAUACUGUGGAGAAUUGGGUUUUUCCCUUCUUUUUUUCUUUUCUUUCUUUCUGUGCUUUGCAAAACAUAGGUAAAAUUAUGAAAUCCGAAGCAUUCUUUAAUUGGGAUUAAGUAUUGUUCUUGAAAUUAAAAAGAAGAAAGAAAGAACAACAAAAUUCCCUGAUUGGUUGCAUCGUGCUUCCAUAGAAGCUCUCUUAGUGUGAUACACUGCUUUCAAUCAGUUUAACAUGGAAAAAAGAAAGAGAUGAAAAGCAAAUUUGGUGGGGAUAAUUUCAGAAACCUCCCCUGAAGAUUUUGACUAUUCUACUGGUCUCCCUUCAGAUUUUAAAAAUUACACUAAUCUUCCUUGAAGUUAUAACAUUUAAAUUCAAUCAAUAAUUUAAAAAAUGAUAUUAUGAAAGAGAAAAUAAUAUGAUUUUAUCAUUGCCCCCCAUCUUACUACAUUAUUUAAUUAAUUUAAUAGCAACCCACACAUUAAAGAAAAAUAUAAAAUUUGUUAUUUAUCAUUAAAGAUCAAAUCGCUUAUAACAUCAAAUAAUAGUAUAUUAUUUAUAUUUUUCACUUAACAUAAUAUCCAAAUUACUCUUUUCAAUUACAUACUCAUUGUUAGACAAUCAACAACAAAUAACCAAAAAAUUUGCAACCAAAAUAUUACAAAAAAAAAUAAACUUUAACAUCAUAAAUAUUCUUAUCAACAUAUUAAAGUUAGUUACUGAAAUUUUUAUGGUGUUAAACUUCACUCUUUGUAAUAUUUUGGUUACAGAUUUUUUUUGAUUAUUUUUUAUUAAUUAUGUUUGAUGAUGGGUUUGUAAUUGAAAAGAAUAAUUUAAAACUUACAUUAAGUGAAAUAUAUAGAGUGAUAUACUAUUUUUUAUAACAUAUGUGAUUCAAUCCUUCUUGAUAGGAUUGGUAAUAGAGGUAGAGGGGGGAGUCGGCUGCAUCCGGUCUUCUUUUCAUAGAUAGUACAAUAUUGCGAAAUCAAUCGCAUUCACACAAUAAUAUUUCGAAGUCAAUGCAUGGCUAAGUUGCAUAAAAGUACGAACACUUGUUAUUAUAUAGCUUAAGAUUCAAAACUUUAGAGCAUAACCCUCCACCUAACACAAUUGAAUAAUGAAUAUUCACGUUUGUCAAAUCUGUCAAAGCACAGUUUGAGGACAACCCAUUCCAACCUGCAAAAGAUUUUUUACUUUUCUAAAGUUGUUGAGAGCUGUAAAAAGACCUACCAUGCUUACAUCCUCCGAGCCUUGGGAGUUAAAAAUGAAGGCACUGAGUGCUAUAAAAAGGGGGCUAGAGGCUGCCUAGAAGCAUAUCAGCCUAAAACAAGAAUUUGUUGUUAUGAUGGGAAGCAAAGCAAAAGCAAUGGGGUCUGGGCUGACUCCUCUUCUUGCCACUGUUUUAGUGGUAUUUGUUGCUCUUGGCUUGCCCUCAGAAACAGCAGCUGAUGAUCACUACAAGUAUUCAUCUCCUCCUCCUCCUUACCACUAUCCCUCACCACCGCCUCCAGUGCAUUUACCUCCACCAGUGUACAAAUACAAGUCCCCACCACCACCUCAUCAUGUUUACAAGUACAAAUCUCCACCACCCCCACCACCACACCCAGUUUACAAGUAUAAGUCACCACCACCACCUCCUCAUCCGGUACCACACCCAGUUUACAAGUAUAAGUCACCACCACCACCUCCUCAUCCGGUAUACAAGUAUAAGUCUCCUCCGCCACCACCACACCCAGUUUACAAGUAUAAGUCACCACCACCACCUCCUCAUCCGGUACCACACCCAGUUUACAAGUAUAAGUCUCCUCCGCCACCAGUUUACAAAUAUAAGUCUCCUCCACCACCACCUCCAGUGUACAAGUACAAGUCUCCACCACCACCAGUUUACAAGUACAAAUCACCACCACCUCCUCCCCCAGUUUACAAAUACAAGUCUCCACCACCACCAGUUUACCACUACAAGUCACCACCACCUCCUCACCCAGUUUACAAGUACAAAUCUCCUCCACCACCAAUUUACCACUACAAGUCACCACCACCUCCUCCCCCAGUUUACAAAUACAAGUCUCCACCUCCUCCUCACCACUACUAAGCAAUUGCUUCUGAGGUAAUAACACUUGUUCAAUAACACUUGAUAGCCAGCUGAAUAUUUGCAGGCAAAGGAGAAGGAAACCAGUGUUUGAGACCUUCUUGAAGAUGUAGAAGCAUAAGAAUUAAAGCCCAAUGUGAAGAUGAUGAUUUCAAGUUUUUCUACGUUACCAUUUCAAUAUCUAAAUUGGUUGUAGCGCCUUAGUUCCUUUGUUUAUGGGAUUUGUAUCGUUUUACGUACCAUGCAGUACAUGUCAUGUUUGUAAGGUUUUCUAUCCUGCCGGCAAACCGCAGGUUCCAUGUAAUAAAUCAAUACUAUUUAUAUUACGACACUUUUCUCUGUUUCUCUUAUAUUUUGUCUUUAAUAUUCUUAAUCAUAUUUUUAACAAAAAUAUUCAAACACUUCAGCAAUGGUUCACCUAGUUGAUCAUCGAAGCAGAGGCAAUUCCAAUUAUUUAUCAAUAAAUAGGAUAUAACUACCAAACAAGCGAUGGCAGUUAACCCCUCCUUACUGUGUCGGUGAUCAAGGUACGCCCGUUAAUCACUGCUCUAAUUGAGAAAUAAUCCUAAGUACGCCCGUAGAAUUUAAUUCCCCAAUUGCCUUACAUAUUAGAGGAGCCCUAUUCUAACCAAAUAACGCACUAUCAGGGUUAUUUUAGAUUAGCCCGCGUAUUCCCCUGACAUAAAUCUAAUCAUGCCAGUUGUCAUUAUUUUGAGGUAAUUAAACAAUUACGGAUUUAACACCUCAAUUGACAAUAGAUUAUUAAAUUAAUUAAUUAUUCGGAUCCAAGACAAUCAAUUAAUUAAACAACCAUAAGCACUACAAUCAGAGAAUAUGCAAAUACCAAUAAAUAAAUAAAAAAUAAAAUUAAAUCGAUCUCACAAUUUUUAGGCGAAUCAGAGCAUCCGUUGUCCCUUGACUAGAGCAAGGAAAUUAGUUCAUAUUUGAUGAACUAAACCCAUACAAAAGGGAAGCGAGAAAUGCAGCCAUUAUCCUUUGAAAUCUGGAAAAUUCAACUUGUCCGAAUAUCGAAUAGAUAGUAAUACUACAAAAGGUAAUUCAUAGCUUCCCUUUCGUCUGACACACAAGAAGAAAAAAAAGGGCUGCUAAUAACUAAAGGAGGAAAAGUCAAAGUCCUAAGCUAUGCUACAAGACGAAAAACUAAAGAAGACAAAAAGGCAGUGCUCAUUCCCUGCAAUCUCAAUUCCUAUUCUAUCUAAGUGCUCUCCAAUGUGCGGCGGCUCCCCUUCCGGAGAGGACGAAGUGGCACCCUUUUUUCCUGCGCAAUUUUCCUAUAUAAAGUAGUGCUCCUUGCAGCGGCUCCUGUGCGAAAAAAUGAAGACUUCGGCCCAAUUUGCCUAACAAGGGCUCACGUUUUGUUGUUCUAAAAAUGUCCCUAGGACAAACUCUAUCAUCUGAACUCUUUUCUUGCCAAAUUAGUACCUGUUAUUAUAUUUUCGUUCUACUCCCUGAAAUAAAUGCAAAAUAUCAAAAGUGAGUAGAAUCUAGCAAUUAAUCCACAUUAGGUCAGGUAAUAGGGAAAAUUAAUAAUAAAAUAAAUGAUAAAAUUGCAAUCUAUCACGGGACCACUGUGGUAAGGUGUGUUUCGCCUAUUAUAAGGAGUUCGGAGAGUUAGACGUGUUGGAGGCGGAGGCGCGGUCACUCCUGCACGCCCUCCAGCUGUGUGCAGAUCGCGAGGUACGGGCGUUGACUGUAGAAUCUGAUUCAAAGGUGCUUGUUCAACUAGUUUGCUCGGAUAUGAGGUCGAAGUGGCCGGUGUGUAUCGUAUUGCGGGAAAUAAGACAUUUGAUCCGGCGGAUGGGUGCAUCCCUUCAUCAUAUAUUCCGUGAGGCCAAUUCGGUGGCGGACGCAUUGGCUUCUCUGCAAUUGGGAGGGCAGCAGUACUACACCUCAGGCGUGGCGCUGCCUUUCAGGCCCAGAGGAGAGGCUCUGCUGGAUCGUCAAGGAGUACCUCGCAUCCGUGAGGCGCUCACUAAGGUUUGAUAGGCUAUGUCCUCCUUUCAAAAAACUUAUUUCAUCUACUCCUUGUAAUCAUUUUUCUUAUCAAUAAAUUGAGGCUUUUUAUUUAAAAAAAAACAUAUAAUUUAAGGCAAAAAUAUGAUCCUAGCGAGUAUCGCACUGAGACAUUAGGAAACAUCAUUAAAAGAGUAUUUCUUGAGUUAGUGCAACUAUUUCUUAGGGGAAUUUAUAGUUACAAAAUUCAAAAAUUUGAGAUUCUAUUACUGAUUAAUUAAGGGCGUUAUCACUAUUUUUCUUAUUAUCACCAUUAUUUACCCCACAUACUAUAAGUUUUUUUAGGGCACAGGAAAAGAGGUGGGCCGAUGUUUAGUUAUGUACAAAAGUUCAAAAUUUGUAGAUAACUUAUCAUGUGCCCUUAGAGCGUAGAAUACAGAAAAAAUAUCUUAAACUAUAACUAAUCCUAAUAUUUUUCUCUAUGAUAAACUAGCUCUUAUCCAUUUCUUUAGAUGAUGAAAGGAAAUAGUUAGUCACCUGUCCUCUAGUGAUUACAACAGCAUCAAAACAAAUUAGCACUCUUUUCCCGUAGUUUAAAAAUCCCUCAGCCACUAAGAUUUUGCAUGUCGAACGAAUUAAGGAACAUAGAAGGUUCGUGCUGCACCACAGUGUCCUUGUUGACGAUGCAAAGACAGAAAUGCAUCCGCGUAUACUUCCUUAAGCAUUUUGAUUACUUUAUGAUUCGAACUUUUCUUGUCUGACAGCUGGACUUAAUUGAAAAACACAAGUAACAAUAUUUCAAAGUUGAUUCGUCAAAGUUUACCCAAUUGGUGAAACUUUCUUCAUAGAGCUGACUUUGUAUUAGGUGACAAUGAUAUGGAAUUGAUGUCCUUCCCUUUUUCCUUUUUUUGUGUUGAAGACGCACAACGUUUUCAAUGGCAAAUUUAUAUGGGCUUUUCACGACAAAAUGUGUUCUGAAAAGUUCAUUCCAGAGGUUAAAAUUUUGUGUGUUAAAAAUUUGCUUCUCAGGACUUUGAUGGGAAAGUCUUGGUGUUUCCAAAAAGUUUAAGCAGGAUGCUUCUGGCUUUCUCUCCAUGUAUUUGUGAGUUAGAUCUAAAAUUAUCAGGGCUCCAGAGAUCUCUUGAAAUCGCAGCAUAUAUUGAAGUCUUUCCAGAAGGAGUCUUUUUUUUUUUUUUUAUGAAUUAUGAUAGAUAAUUAAUCUGACGGUGCAUAUAUAUAUAUAUGUGAUUUGCAGUAGGGUGUUUGACGAAAUGGUUAGGCUUCCUAAGUAAUGAUAGGAAUGCCAUUUGCAAAGAAGGACAGGGGGCUGGUGCUGUCAUAUUUUAUGCGAUUUGAUCCGUUGUUGUAUAAGUUUAAACUUUUGACGUGCAAUUGUGCUAUAAUAUUAUACUAAAUAUAUGUGUGAAAUAUUUUGUCUAUAUACAUCACUUUUAUCAUGAAUACAACAGCUGAGUAUAAUAAUAUAGUAUAAUGUAAUUGUACACCAAAUAAUGUAGCAAAUAUAACAAUUGAUCCGAAUUACACGGAACCAUAACAACAAGAUCACCGCCUCCCAAAUUUUACAAAAUUAGGUUUUUUUUUUUUCUCUUAGAUUAUUGAAAAUUUUCAAAAAUAAUCUACAUAAUUUAAGCUUUUGUCCUACAAAAAUUUGAAGAGAUUUUACAUUACAAGCUUAAGCUUAGAUAUAUUAAACUUUGCCCCCAAGAUUAAUUUUCCGUUUUUAUCUAUGAACCGAUCCAUAUAGCUAGUUAGACUGUAGUCCUCACAUUUGUGGGAUUUAACACCCAAGAUUCUCCUUCUUGGAAUGUAAAAUGUAGAUCUUCUAUGUUAAUAAUUCAAGACCCUACUGUCAUAAACGAAAUGACUGAUCAACUCCUGUAAACCUAAUUUGACAACAUUUAAAUGGAGAACUUUAGCUAAAAGAAUUAUGGUCAAGCUAAAGAAAAAGCCAGUUAUUUUCCAACAUAUGCAAUCAUUGAUCAGGAAAAAAAAAAAAAAGCAAAAAGACAUCUUCAAUCAUUUAAUAGCUCACAGUGCAAAUUAACCCCUAAGCGAAAACUGGUUGCUCUAGAAUCAAAAUUUUACCUUAGUUACCCAGGCAACUUUUUUGUUGCUUUUUUUUUUUUCUUUUCCUUUUUGGGUAUAUAUAUAGCUCCAGUUUUGCCCCCUCUGUCAAGCUUAUAUAAUUAUUAAGAUAAUAAAAGUGCCUUGAAUAGUAUUAAUAUAUCCAUUGACUUGAGCUGUCAUCGAUCGGUUUGGGCUACUUCGAUUCCAUGAGAACAAAUGGUAAUAAAAGUACUCAGAAAAUAGGGAGCCAUGAAACCCUUUUGUUCUAUUCAUUGCUAAGAUGCUUUUCUCUAUAAAGAGACUUCCUAACGAAAGUACUUUGUAGAUUUCUUUACUCCAAGUGGUGCAUGGAAAAUUAAAAUAUUCAAUUAUCAAAUAAAAUUCCCUUUUUUCGGUGUAGAUUUCAUCCAUCCAGCUGUUAACACAUUUUAUGUAUCCGAAUUAUAUAUUCUCUACCAAAUAUUGUAACUUUUCUGAGCAUCUUUACAUUUUUAUUCCCACCUAACAAAUUAGUUGUUGAGCAUCUUUACAUGCUAUCGGAUCACAAGUUAAUAAUCUUUUAAAGAACAUGUUAAAUUAAUUUAUUGGUAUGAAUAGUCAAAGAAGUAUAUUAAAGUUAGUAAUCUUUAAACACCACGAUGCAAUUAAUACUUUCAAGCUCAAGGUCUUUUUUUUUUUUUUUUUUGGUACUGUACUUCCUUGCUUUAUAGUAUGCACGUUUAUUUCUGUGGAUUGCUUAAGCUUAUAUUGUUAAUAAUUGGGCAUUUAACCAUAAAUUAUAAUGAUUAUGAAGUCAUAUAUAUAUAUAUAUAUAUAAGAAAAUUACCACAAUUAUUCAAUUUUUUUUGCAAAUUCAAAUUUUAUUAAUAAGAAAUAGGCAGUAAGCUUUUACAAACGGAAAAAAAAAAUCCUACAACAACUCUAGGACCUUUGAAAGAAAGAAAAAAAAAAGAAAAGAAAAGCUUAAGGACUCUACCUCAUAGAAGCUAAACAAUCCUACAAAUAAACUGCAAAAUAAAUCACAAUAACGCAAAAUUUUUGUCUUUCUUCCGUAUGAAAUGAAACUACGAAGUCAAGAAUUGACUCCUUUAACCGCUAUUGCCAGCGGGCUCCGUCAGCAAGAUACAACUUUGCAAUUUGAUUCAAUAGAAAUCCUCAAAUAGCUAUUUUGACAGGCAAAUUAAGCAUUAAUUUUGGUAUCCCUUCAUAAAAUACAAGAGUACUUUUGAUUAUAUCUAUAGAUCAACUUUCUAGGCUAUUUUGAUGUAUUAUAAGAAAAUCUGCCUCAACAAUUUUGAUAGCAUUUUUCCAAAAGCAGAAGAUGGAAAAUUGCCCAUUUGUACUGGGGAGUUCGUGAUCUUUUCCUCCUUCUAGUCUACUUACAAUUCUUGGAAAAAGGAAUACUCACAUCUCAAACAACUGCCUGUUCAUCUGCAAUGUCCUGCCGAAUUCUAGAAAGUUAGGUGGCAAUGCUAAUUACAUUUCAAAAUUGACUGCUGCGAUGACUAAUUCGAUGGCUUACUACAUGGUCAACGUUUGGAUCCCUUCCUGUCCUUUUUGGAUGCACAUUUUUUUUCUCUAGGCAAUAUAUAAUCUCCCAACUCAUUUCUUUACAAAUGCACCUUUAAUCACCACCAAAAGGUGUGGACAUGAUCUUUACCCUAGAAAACUAAUCACCGACAGGCAAAUUGACGUCAGAAAUACUAAGAGGAAUUCUAGUUUCCUUCGGGUUAAUGCCAUUUUGUACCCUUCAACUGUAACUCGAUUUCUAAACUAUAAUUUGUGACAUUAUAGUCCUUAAACUAUGAAACCCCUCUUACUUAAGUACAAUGGUUAAUACAAUACCCGUGACUAGACAAGCAACCAUAACAAAAAAAAAUCCAAAAUUAGAGAAAAGAAAGAAGUUUCGCGACCAAAGUAUGUAUCAAGGCAUAGUAUAGAAAUAAAAGUGUCCAAAUUAAGAGUUUAGGGAUAAAAGAGAUCAAGAUAUAGUUUAGGGAUUGAUUUGUCUCAAUUAGAGUUUUGAUGUCAACUAAGAAGAGAGAUAUAGUUGAAGGGUAGAAUAUAGAUAUAACAGUUCAAUGAUUGAUAUCAACGAGACAAUGACAACUUUGGAUUAUUACCAACCUCUUCUUGAUGGGAAAAGGAAAUAGAGAAGAAAGUCGGGCCUGGUCUAAGCCUGCUUCGGAGGCAAAACAACAUUAUGAAAUCACCGGCAUUCACACAAAUAUGUCAAAGUCACCGGCAUGCUAAGUUGCAUAAUUUAUACAAACACUGAAUAAUAUAUUGUUCUUAAAAUUUUUGUUUAAGAUUUAACAAUUAGAGCACGGUACACGAAUUAGCAAUAUUAAAUAAUGAAUGUUCACGAUUGAUAAAGUUAUCAAAGUACAGUUUGAGGACAACCCAUUCCAACGUGUACAAGAUGUUUAGCCUUUGAAAAGUUAAUUAGAGAAGGUGACGAGAUUUUACUAGGCUUAAAUCUUCUAGGCCUCGGAAGUAAAAAAUGAAGGCCUUUGAGUGCUAUAAAAAGGGGGCUAGAUGUUGCCUAGAAGCAUAUCAGCCUCAGACCACAUUUUGUAGCAAUGGGGAGCAAAGCAAAAGCAAUGGGGUCUAGGCUGACUCCUCUUCUUACCACCGUUUUAGUGGUAUUUGUUGCUCUUGGCUUGCCUUCAGAAACUGUGGCUGAUUACUACAAGUAUUCAUCUCCUCCUCCUCCUUACCAUUAUUCCUCACCACCACCUCCUGUGCAUUCACCUCCACCACCGCCAAUUUAUAAGUCACCCCCACCACCUUACCACUACUCCUCACCGCCACCUCCAGUGUAUUCAUCUCCACCACCACCUUCGCCAGUUUACAAGUCUCCGCCACCACCUUACCAUUAUUCGUCACCACCGCCUCCGGUGCAUUCACCUCCACCACCACCUGUUUACAAGUCACCUCCACCACCUUCGCCAGUUUACAAGUCUCCGCCACCACCUUACUAUUAUUCGUCACCACCGCCUCCGGUGCAUUCACCUCCACCACCACCGAUUUACGAGUCACCUCCACCACCUCCUCCAGUUUACAAGUCUCCGCCACCACCUUACCAUUAUUCCUCACCACCACCUCCAACGCAUUCACUCCCACCACCAGUUUACAAAUCACCGCCACCACCUCCUCCUAUGUAUAAGUCCCCUCCACCACCUUAUCAUUAUUCCUCACCACCACCUCCAGUGCAUUCACCCCCACUGCCACCAAUUUACAAGUCUCCGCCACCUCCAAUCUACAAGUAUAAGUCACCACCACCUCCUCCCCCAAUUUACAAGUCACCACCACCACCUCCUCCAGUAUAUAAGUCCCUACCCCCACCAGUGUAUAAGUACAAGUCUCCACCACCACCUCCUCCAGUAUACAAAUCACCUCCACCACCUCCUCCAGUUUACAAAUCUCUACCACCACCAAUUUAUAAAUACAAGUCUCCUCCACCACCUCCUCCGGUUUACAAUUCCCCACCACCACCAAUCUACAAGUCUCCACCUCCACCCUCCCAUUACUACUACAAUUCUCCUCCUCCUCCUCCUCAUCACUACUAAGCAAUUGUAUCCAAGUUUUUGAGGUAAUAAUGCUAAACCAAUAUAUUAACUUUCGCAUGAUAAACUUUAUCUCUAUCAAGACAAACUGCCAUGUGCAUCAAGCCAAAUACGUACACUUCGAUCCAUGAAAAUGACAAGUAGAAGGUUUUCUUAAGAACCAAGGAACAGCAUUAGUAUUCCCUCUGUUUCCAAAACUUGUGUAUUAAAUAGAUUAAUGAAUUGUUUAACAUGCUUAUCUACUUGAAAAUGCACAAUACCCAUAACCCACUGAAAUUUUUGCAGGUAAAGGGGAAGAGAAUCUGUGUUUGAGAGCUUCAUGAAGAUGUUGAAGAAUAAGAAUAAAAGCCCAAUGCGAGGAUGUUUUCAAGUUUUUCUAUGUUUCCACUUUAAUUUGUAAAUUGAAUUUUUCGACUUAAUUAAUUCCCUGUUUGUGGGGUACGUAUUGUUUUACGUACCAUGCCGUACAUGUUUGUAAGGAUUUCUAUCCUAUUGGCAAAAGUCGGUUCCAUACAAUUAAUCAAUUCAUUUCACUUCUAUUGGCUCUACUAUUUAUGCACGUUACGACAUUUUUUCUCUCUUUCCCUUAUAUUUUGUCUUUAAUAUUAUUGAGUCAAUAGUAAUACUGGGCCAUUUUUUUUAAAACUUAUACUAGUAUACAUAGGUAGUUUGGUCUAACGCCAAAUUCAUGUUUGUCUUUCUUUUAUUCCCUUUACAUUUCAAAGUAUACUAUAGUUUGUGAUCAUUGUGGUGAUGAUAUUACCAGCUGGUACUUAUAGUUUAAGGCAGAGACAUGAUAUUAACAACUAUCUCAUUGAAACAUAAGGAAAAAUCAUGACAAGUGUGAGUCUUGGUUAAUGCACAAUUUGUUAGUGGAAUUUAUAUUUAUAAAACUCAAAAAAAAAAUUUUGACAAUGCUAUUACUAAUUAAUUAAGGACUUUAUUGCUAUAAUUUAUCGCUUGCUAGUUUAAACUAUAAAUGAUCUCAAUACUUUUCUCCAUGAUGUCGAUUUCUUUAGAUACGAAAGGGAAAAAUUAGUGACAUAUCCCUUACUGAUUACAACAUCAGCAAAAAUUAGUUAUAAACUUUUCCGGUGGUUUUAAAUCCCCGGGCCCUAAGAUUUUUUGCUCAUCGAGUGAAUUAAGGAACAUAGGCAAUUCAUUUUGCAUACCAAGUCCUUGUUUAAGAUGCAAGUACUAAAAUGCAUCCACUUCAUUAAUUUGGGAAAUUGCCAUAGUUUUUUUAAGCAUUUUGAUUUUUUACAUGAUUUAAAAUUUUCUUAUUGGAUACAAUCACUUUGUAUCAAGAACACAUUUUCAAUCACCUUUUUUUAUCUUCUCAAUGAGAAAAUAAAAAUUUAUUCAUGCUUUUCUAACAUAUUCAAUCAUUGAUCUGAAAAUUAAAACAUUAAGAAAAGGACAUUUUCAAACAUUAAGAAGUAGUAUUUUAAAGACCAUGAUGAAAUUAAUACUUUCAAGGUCUCUAUUAGGAAGACUUCCUUUAUUAAUACUCUACUAGGCAGAGUUAUAUGCACGUUUACUGUUUUGGCCUUAAGUUGGGUGCAGAUGCUUAUAUUACAAAUAGAUGGUAUCAAAAAAUUGUUGUAUUCACGUCUGUUCUUUUUUUCUUCCUUAAGUUUUUUUCUUUAUUCUCGUGACUUCGCUAGUGAGGUAUAACUUCACAACUAGAGUCAAUAGAAAUCGUCAAAUGAUUUUUUGACAUCCAAAUUAAGCAAUAAAUUUUGUUUUCAUUUCAUAACAUAUAAUAGUACUACUUCAUGGGAGAUUUUAUAGUUUCUUUAGGGUAUCAUACCUACAAUUGAUAUUUAUCAUUGGAUAGUGAAAGAAGUGUUAAUGUCUCUAAGAUUAAAUAUUGUUAAAUAUUGAAAAUUUGAACUAUUUAUCUCUAUUGAGAGAUACAACUUAAAGAAUCCUACCCAAAAGAGACUAGAAUUUUCUCUGUUUUUCAUCAUCUGUAGACAUAAACUUUCCACGGUUGAUAGCAUUUUUCAUCAUCUAUAAGGAAAUUUUGCCUAUACAAUGUGAUAGCAUUUUUCAAAAAGACAAGAUGGAAAAUUGCCCCCCUUGAACGGAAAAUUGCCCCCUUGUCAAUUCUUUAAAAAAGAAUACCGUCCCGCAGAAUUCUAGAAAGUUAGGCAAAACUAGACAAGUUGACAGGUAUAAUCAGACCCAAGAUCAGGAACAAGCAGUUGCACAUUUCAAAAUUCGCUGCUGCAACAACUAAUUUGAUGACUUACAACACUAAAUGGUCAAACUUUGAAUGGCAAUGAAUCUUUUGUUGUACAUCAUGAUGUAAUUUUCAUGUUACAUAAUAGAUUGAUAUCUAUGUUCUUUAAAUUAUCAUAAUAAUUAAAUUUAACUGAAAAAAAGAACACAUAUCAAUACACAAAAGUGUGCAACGUGAAUGUUAUUUUAGUGUAUUGCAGAAGACCUAUAGUCUCUUCAUAUCUCUUCCUGCACGUAUCAAUUCGUUUCCUCUAGAUAAUAAUCUCCCAACUCAUUUAUUUACAAAUGCACCUUUUAUGUUUUAUUACCUCCAAAAGCCUAAAAAUCAAUUCACCGACUCGCAUUUGGUAUCAGAAAUUCUUAUUACGAAUUCUACUUUACUCAAAGAUUGACUGUUAAUAAUGAGACAACGACCAUUUUGUAUUAUUACACCGUCCUUCUUGAUAGGCAAAAGAAAUAGAGAGGAAAGCGGGUCCGUAUAUGGUCUUUUAUUCAUAGAUAAUACAACAUUACGCCAUCGAGCAUUCACACAAUAUUUCAAAGUCAUUGCAUGCCUAAGGCCUGCUUGAUAAUCUAAUUCCGUACUUAAAUUUAAUAAAUUCAAAUCUUAACACAUUCAAAUCGUUUGAUAACAAAAAAUUGAACAUCUAAAUUAAUUAAGUAACACUGAAUUUUCUAGGCAAAACUUGCUCCCAAAAUUAAGUGAUAAGUUAUUCACUUAUCACUGAAUAUGAUAUGUAUUCAAAUGUAUUAGAUUUAAUACUUAAUAAUUUAAUGAAUUCAAAUUUCAUAUUUCAUAUUUCAGUUUUAUCAAACACACCUUAAGUUGCAAAAUAAUACCAAAACUUGUUAUUACAUAGCUUGAGAUUCAAAAAUUUAGAGCAUAAUUCUCAACCAAACACAAUUGAAUAAUGAAUAUUCACGAGUGUCAAAUCUAUCAAAGUACAAUUUGAGGACAACCCAUUCAAACGCGUACACGAUUUUUAACUUUUCUAAAGUUGUUGAGAGCUGUUGAAAGAGAUUUACCAUGUUUACAUCUUCCAAGUCUUGGGAGUAAAAAAUGAAGCCACUGAGUGCUAUAAAAAGGGGGGUAGAGGCCACUUGAGAUCCUCGGUGACAUGUUUUCUAUGCCAAUCCAAUGCCACCAAUAGUGUUGCGCCAAGUGUCAUGUUAUUAUUUACACUUGUGUUAAACUAAGCCAAGUUGAAUUAUUAGAAAAUUAAAGUGUAAAUAAUAACAUGACACUUGGCGCAAUACUAUUGGUGACAUUGGGUUGGCAUAGAAAAUAUGUCACCGAGGAUCCCAAGUGGAUAGAUGCUGCCUAGAAGCAUAUCAGCCUAAAACAAGAAUUUGUAGUAACAAUGGGGAGCAAAGCAAAAGCAACGGGGUCUAGGCUGACUCCUCUUCUUACCACUGUUUUAGUGGUAUUUGUUGCCCUUGGCUUGCCCUUGGAAACUGCAGCUGAUUAUUACAAGUAUUCAUCUCCUCCUCCUCCUCCUUACCAGUAUUCCUCACCACCACCUCCAGUGUAUUCACCUCCACCAACCCCUGUUUAUAAGUUACCCCCACCAUCUCCUCUAGUUUACAAGUCCUCACCACCACCUUACCACUACUCACCACCUCCUGUGUAUUCACCUCCACCAUCACCAAUUUACAAGUCACUGCCACCACCCCCUCCAGUAUACAACUCCCCGCCUCCACCAGUGUACAAAUACAAGUCCCCACCACCACCUUCUCCAAUUUACAAAUCUCCACCGCCACCAGUUUACAAGUACAAGUCACCCCCACCACCUCCUCCGGUAUACAAGUCUCCUCCGCCACCUGUUUACGAGUACAAGUCUCCUCCACCACCUCCUCCAGUGUACAAGUCCCCACCACCUCCAGUUUACAAGUACAAGUCACCACCACCUCCUCCCCCGGUUUACCAAUCUCCUCCACCACCAGUUUACAAAUACAAGUCACCACCACCUCCUCCCCCAGUUUACCAGUCUCCAC
This 79497-nucleotide long non-coding RNA is filed under the name Coffea arabica (coffee). RNAcentral describes it as "long non-coding RNA (CARA_LNC007267)". The record is from RNAcentral. Lineage: Eukaryota; Viridiplantae; Streptophyta; Magnoliopsida; Gentianales; Rubiaceae.